This 55981-nucleotide long non-coding RNA is filed under the name Nicotiana benthamiana. RNAcentral describes it as "long non-coding RNA (NBEN_LNC018566)". Lineage: Eukaryota; Viridiplantae; Streptophyta; Magnoliopsida; Solanales; Solanaceae. The record is from RNAcentral.
ACGGCCCUAGUUCAAUUUUGCCUUUUACAUAAAGCUGUCCAAAUCCCUUCAGAAAAUCAGCGACCAUAUCUUUAUUCCUCGUACUCCCCUAUAUCAACUCCACCGGCGGAGCCGCCGCCGGUGAAUGUCACCUUCUCCGUUCAUCCCCAAAUUAACGCCACCAACCCUCCUUCCUCUCCCCUCCUCUCCCCGUUCCUACCAUUGUCGUCCCUCGAAACUCACCUGAGCUCCUCGAAUAUUUGUUGGAAGAUUUUCUGACCACGACAUCACCAGUCCCAAAUCCUGCCAAAAGCACAACAUAGGACCGCCUUGUCCUCUUCUAUACAACCCCCAUAGCCUCUUGCCUCGAAUCUGGCCGGAAGUGCUCGAAUACCCAAUUCAAUUUUUCCGGCCACAACCCUAAUGUGACCAAAGGACAUGCAAUUGAUAUCAUAAGGUUCAUGGGCUUCCCUCGCAAGUAAUUGGUCAUCAGUAAAGCUCGAAUGUCAGCAGAGAUGGCCAGAAGUGAAUUUUCGGUUAAUUAGAUUAUUGUUGAAGUUGUUUCAGUAUUAGUGAGUUUCUUUUCUUUGUGUAGUUCUCUUGUUUUGUUGUUAUUAAUUUCCAGUUUAAUGUGUGUUUAUUUGUUGUCAAUUCUCUUCUAAAUUUUGUGUUUAACUAUUUUUUUGUUCAUAUAUUAUUUAUUCUUCCUUAAUUAGGAUAUUAGUCGUCUUUCUAUCUAACUUUCAAUUUUUGUUUUGUUUUGAUUAAUUCGUUGGCAAUAACUCUUUGAUCCAUUAUGUGGUUUUAAUUCAUUCUAAGGUUUAAUCCUGAUUAAUUAGUAUUCGAUGGUAGUUAGUUAUUUUUGGUUAAUACUUAUGUGGGGAUAUUUAACAGACUCUGUUAAUCUAGGUUGGUAAUCUCUUCAGAAAUAAAAGGAAAAUUUCAGGGUAGUUUAGAACAAGGUAGAGGAAACUAGGAAAUUCUAGAAGGGGUUUAAUUGGGAAAUCAGAAAUAGAUAGUACAUAAUAUGAAUUGACUAUGCUUUGAUCACUAGCUCCGUAGGUCCCUAAGAGACUUCUCUCGUCACAAGUCACUAUGGCCAAAGGUUAGAUAGCCUGCUCCCAGGUCAACAUCGAGGUCAGCUCCAUCUCCUCUUUCCUUUGUCUUUGUCUACUGUUCAUCCUUGACAUUCUUUCCGAACUCGUUAGUACCGGAACUCCCGCCAUGAAGGUCACUUAAAGUAACCUACUCGAGCUUCACCCUUUGUAUUGUACCGCCUGGAAAGAGGUUCGCCAGCCCUUUUCUUUCCCUGUUGGGUGGCAAGUUAAUAGUUGGAGGACUGAAUUGAAAAUAACCUAGGGACUAGGGUGCAAAGCCAAAAAUCUAAAAUGCCCUCCUCUUGGCCUAUAUAAAGGGCAUUCUCAUGCCUUAUAAAAGAAGUUUUGGAGCCUCAAAAAAUUUCCCAAAAAGCACUCUCUAGUUCCAGAUCUAGAUUAUAAUUUCAGCAUUCAAAAUUUUUUUUUAAAAAAAAGAGAACAACAAAAGAGAAAAAAAAUCAAAAUUUUUUCACUGCUUCAUUGCUCUACUGUCCACUAGUGUAGUUCUAGUUCCUAUAAAAUCGAAAACAAUCUGGAUUUCUUUGUUCGAGGUUCAACAAGUUUAUUUGAAGGGUGUGUUUGAAGUUUUGGGUUUGAUUUGAAAUCCAAUUGUUUGGUCAAGCUGUGUGUGGGUGAUUGCUGUUUUUUGCUGGGUUUUCAAACGAUUUCUGGGCUGAUUAAGCUGAAGCUGGUUGUGGUUGAUCGCUGCUUAUUGUUGUUUGUGCACUGUUGCCUACUCCUGACUGUUCUCCUUCUUUGUUCUUCAAUUUUUAGGUACAUAUAUGUACAUUUUCGGCUAUUUGAAAUGAAAUGAAGGGCAAAUGGAGGCUUCUAUGUCAUUUUGUGUUUAAUAGCUAACUGAAACCAAGAUGGCUUAGUUAUUCGAUGACUUUGGCUUGUGCUGAAAAUGAAUCUGUCUCCCUGAUAUGAAAUGUUUGAAGAAAAAUGAGCUAUGCUGAUAUGAAAUGAGAAUUAGACAGGAGUAAACUUAGGCUGUGAGUUUGUACUUAUUUGAAUCUUAUUGAAUUGUGAAACUAUAGGUCUAUUUGGUACGUGCGGAAAAAAGCCAAAUAAGAUUGUUUCAGAAGUAGGUGGAUUAUUGUAACUAGAAAAAGGUUACUAAAUUGUUUUAAGUCCAUUUGAAUGGCAUGCUGUGCAUUUGUGCUUUGAGAUGCUUAUGAACUAGUUCUAACAUGCUAUUGGUAAUCACCCGUUCUUUGAAUGAAUUAACUCUAUUAAACUUAACAGUUUUGGUGGAUUGCUGCAUUUGCCAUUUGAAAAUCCAUGCUAGUUGAGGCAAAAGUAAUUUCGGAUUAGUAGAGUUUAGAUCAUUUGAAUGAAUUGAUAGCCAUUUCCUAGUUAGUUUAAUAUGUUUGUUCUUAAUAUGUCACCCCAAAAUAGUGUUUAGUAGCCAUUUCUCUGUUGCUUUGAUUAAAUCUUGUUGGGAUUCGAUUCAUGAGAAUGUGAUGUGAGAGGUGGCCCAGUGCUUGGCAUCGAGGCCCAAGGCCUUUGCAUUCUGAGACAAAGAUAAAUCAACAAGGUCAUGAUUUGUCCUUAUCGGGAUUCGAUCCCGGGUGGAGAGGCCUUUGCUAUUUGAGCCUCCUCUUAUUCAUGCCAGGCUUUAUCGAAUGGGCCAUUUCUGAAGCCCAUUAUGUGGUUAACUUGUUGUUUGAGUUUGGAUCACUGAGUUCAGUUCAUAGUUCAAUUCGCUGGUAAUUAGUUUUUCCUCUUGUAGAGAUAAUCAAUCAAUAGCGAAUCAUAGACAGUCUUAAGUAAGCCUUUUAAUAAAUGUUGAGAUGAGCCUCGCCAAACAAAACAUAAAUGUGGGGCCAUCAAUAGUGGUUCUAUAAAAUAAUUAGAAUUUAGGAAGCCUGAUUAGUGAAUUUCACGGCCUUACCCAAAAUAACAAUACGAUAGUUACUUUAGGCGCGUGUUUAAUAAUAUUACUUUCCUAAAUUCGAGUGCGCAUCAAAGAUAAAUUAACAAGGUCAGGCUUUGUCCUUAUCGCGGAUUCGAUCCCAGGUGGAGAGGCCUUUGCUAUUUGAGCCUCCUCUUAUUUAUGCCUGGCUUUAUCGAAUGGGCCAUUUCUGAAUCCCAUCAGUGGUUAACUUGUUGUUUGAGUUUGGAUCACUGAGUUUAGUUCGUAGUUCAAUUCGCUGGUAAUUAGUUUUUCCUCUUGUAGAGAUAAUCGACCAAUAGCGAAUCGUAGACAGUCUUAAGUGAGCCUUUUAAUAAAUGUUGAGAUGAGCCUCGCCAAACAAAACAUAAAUGCAGGUCCCUCAAUAGUGGUUCUAUAAAAUAAUUAGAAUUUGGGAAGGCCGAUUGGUGAAUUUCAUGGCCUUCCCCAAAAUAACAAUACGCUAGUUGCUUUAGGUGCGUGUUUAAUAAUAUUACUUUCCUAAAUUCGGGUGAGCAUUAGUGCGACCCAAAUCCAAAUCUUGAUGAAGUGGAAAUAUGUUGACAAUCGCGGGCGCAUUGAUUGCGACGGGGUACGAAACUCAUUUUUACGUCAUCGUAAUUCUUAUAAAAUAAAUAAUGAUAGAAAAGAUAUUCGCGAAUUGAGACGAGCCUCACCUAAUAAAAUAAAUGCGGGGCCCUUAAUAAAUGGUUACUAAAAAUGAUUAGUAUUUGGAGGGCUGUUUAGCGAAUUUCAACGGCCUUUCCCAAUAUAAUAUUACGUUAGAACCUUUAGGCACGAUUUAAUUAAUUUACUUCCUUAAGCUCGGGUGCGCAUUGAUGCGAUCUAAAUCCAAAUCUCGACGAAGUCAAAAUAUGUUGACAACCACGGGUGCAUUGAUUGCGACGUGGUUCGAAACAUGUUUUCACGACGUUGCAAUUCUUUUAAAAUAAACAAAGAUAAAAGCGGUUUACGAAUAAAAAGCACAUAAGCUAGCAUGUAUUAAAAUCAAAUAAAAUCAAAUGCAACAGCUAAGCGACCGUGCUAGAACCACAGAACCCGGGAAUGCCAAACACCUUCUGUUGGGUUAACAGAAUUCCUUACUCGGGUUUCUGGUUCGCAAACUGUAAAAAAUUCAUAUUUUUCCCCGGUUGGGGAUUCAAUUUGUGACUUGCGAUACCAUUAAUCGCUCAAGUGGUGACUAUGAAUCUUGAUAAAUAAAUCUCGUUCGGAUUGUCCUUUAAUUGAAAAACUCCUUUACGCCCUGCGGGCUAUAUAGUGAAUAAGAAGGUGUGACAGCUCUGGCGACUCUACUGGGGAGUAAGAACCCAGAACGUUUUGUUUAGGGUUCAGAAUUCGAGCUUAGAUAAAUUGUUGUAUUUGGAUAUAUCUGAUUUUUCUACAUGUUUCAUGGUUAAUGUGCUAAAUGUUACCGCUUUGAUAUUAUCUGAACUGUAUAUAAACUAUGCAUACACCUUUCUCUCUUCACCUCCGGGGAUGUGCUUACUGGUUGAGACUCCCUAUCUUGUUAGUGUCAUACCCUGAAAUAAGAAAAAGGCUCGGACAAGUUACUAAGCCGGAUGGCCUUUUGGUUCCAGAAAAGUUUCCCCCUCCUCGACUCGAGUUGUCCGCUCGGGUACACAGUCUAGAACACUGACCCAAGUUUUGAACAUAGAAUAACGUGACUUCAGGCUGGAUCCCUAGUAAGAAUGCUUAUUUGCCUCACAUUGCAUUUGACUUAGGGGACUCAACACAGGGGUUGGGUCCGUCAAGGACUAGCAACCUGAAAUGAAAAGACAAUCCUGAUGCAUCCUAUUUGUUUUCCGUGCAUUUAUUUGUCUCGGGCCCGCAUGCUGACCGAUUUUUGAAUAUCGGGAAUAUUGUGAAAUUGAGGAAAAGAAAAAAAAGAGAGAAAUAGUGGUUAGGGAGUUAAUUGAUUAUUUUGGAAAAAGCCCAAUGCCCAAAUGAUGUUGAAACUCUGCCGAAAUUUUGAGAAAAUAAAAAAAAAUUUAUUAGUUUGUUUUACUAAAAAGCAAAGGAAUAAUAGAAAAAAAAGAGUCGUUAUUUUGUCUUGUUUUCAAAAAUAGAAUAGGAAAAUAGUUUGUAUUGCCAUGAAAAAUGAAAAAUCAAAUGAAUCUUGUUUUUAAAAAAAUAAUUUUUUUUAUGAAAUGCCAAAAAUAAAAAUGAAAAAGGUCUUUUUUUAAAUUAGUUUUCUUUACGAAAUGCCCAAAAAUAGAAAUAAAAAGAGUCAUUUUUAGAAUAGUUCAGCUAAUUUACUCGAACUACGCAGGUUUGAUUCUCACCGGAUGUGAGAUACGUAAACAACCCUAAUCGGGUCCAACCUCCCCCUUUGCAAAAAUAGCGAAAAAUGCAAAAACUUUAAUUUUUGUCAUAAAUAAGUUGAGGUGAUGCCGUUUUUAUCAAUAAUAGCUAAAUGUUCCUUAAAGGGACACCGGAAGGCUGACUUUGCAUAAAUAGCCACCUUGGUUAAUUUUUAAUUUUGGCCAGUCGAGCCAACGCAGCCUUAAAAUCUUCAUCCCCGAGGUGCUGAAAGGCCGUGUUUGCAAACUCAGGUCUUUUAUUUUAAUUUGAAACCGAAGAAAGAGUCAUUGUUCAAGUGAACACCGUUUGGAUUUUGGUCAAAAUAAGCGGAUCCAGCUUCGGCGGUGUCUUGAAUCGUUCUUACCGAGAUAGCCCUGGAGUAUCUUUCAGUUGUCGAAAGGCUAUUUUCGUGAAGAACAGAUAAGUUUGUGAAGUGUCAUAAAAUAAUCCUCCCCAGACUCAAAAUUCAUGAGAAAUUGAGAAGGGUCCACAUUUGCAAAAAUAGCCAUUUGGUUAAAAUUGGCAUAUGGAGAAAGAAUUUGUCAGUUUGUUUUCUCUUGUGAUUAGAGUAUGUGGGUUGUUGAAUGUUCGAGUCUGUAUCUCGUCUUUUCAGAGUCUGCUAGUUUUGUUUAAAGUUUUCCAGUUUUUGAAUCAUUAAUCAAAGUUUGUUUUGUUAUGAAAAAUUGAAAAGUCCCAAAAUAUCUUUUAUUGUUCAUUUACCUUUUAUCUUCACGAACUACGCUUGGUCUGAUUCGUGCGGGGUCAUGAUACAUAGGCAAUCUCCAUAGUAUUUGACCGUAAUCGUAAAGGGGAAAAGGAAAAGAAAAAAAAGAAACAAAGAAGGAGGGAAAAGAAAGAAAGAGCAGAAAAACAAGGAAAAAAGAGGAAUGAAAAUAAGAAAAGAGAGAAAAAUAUAUAAAGAGCGAAAAAACAAAGAAAGUAUAGAAUAAGAAAGCGAAAGAGAAAGAAAGAGAGAGAAAAGAAAAAAUGAAAUGAAAGUUGUGAUGGAAAAUAAUGAAAGGUCGGGACGACGCAUGCAGUCGAGCAAGUGCAUAGUAGAGAUGGUUAACUGUAUAAGUGAAUUCGUUGCUAACGUGCGGUUAUUCAAUCUGUUAAAGCCUAAUCACUAACCAAGUUGUUGUCCAAAAGUGUGAGUACAGACAGGUGGUUAGUUGAUCCGGCAUUCUGGAAACCCAUCUGUACAACACCCGGGUCAAAAUAUAAAGUAGACAUGACAGGAAGGAUGCAGACAUCAGUAUUGUGGACCUUACAAAUGAAGCUGAGGUAACAGAUGUGGGUGCUAUGAAAGAAGAGAUGCGGAAAUUGAAAGCGCAAAUGGCCGAAAUGCAUCGGGCUUGGUCUCAAGGGCAUCCGACACCAUCAUACCCCGCCAACCCACCUUACAUCCCAUUUCUGGCUCAGGCUCCAGAGCCCAACACUCCCCACGCAUCUUCAGCUUUCCCUCAUCCCACCCAGGGCUAUGGUACCACGUCAUAUGCUCCUCCAGCUCCACCACCCUAACAGAAUCCUCCCCCACCCAUGGUCUUUGUGGCACCUCCAACAGCCACAUUACAUAGAUCGUCCAGUGAGCCGCUAUUCCAAGCACAUGACACCCAAUACUACCCUCCCGAACCCACUUUUAGAGCUCCUGAGCCAUAGACAUACACACCCCACCUUGAAACCCCGAGAGAAGUUGAGAAACCGGUUAGGAAUUUGGAAUAGAAGGAAGUGAUUCGUAAAGUCAAAAGCCUGGAGCAAUCCUUCAGGAACAUGCAUGGUUUAAGCAGCCAAGUCAGCGUUGCUUACAAAGAUUUGUGCCCUUUUCCUAAUGUCCAGUUGCCCGCAGGGUUCAAAAUUCCCAAGUUUGAUUUGUAUGAGGGACAUGGCGACCCGGUGGCCCACCUUCAAGGUUUCUGCAGUAAAAUGAGAGGAGCUGGGGGAAAAGAAGAAUUUUUGAUAGCCUAUUUCGAUCAAAGUCUGAGCGGGUCUGCUUUGGAGUGGUAUGCACAACAGGACCCUGGCCGUUGGUACACAUGGGAUGAUUUGUUACAAGCAUUCAUUGGCCAUUUUCAGUACAACCUUGAGAUAAUACCCGAUCGUCUGUCGCUGUUGAAGUUGGAGAAGAAGCCCGGGGAAAGUUUUAGAGAAUUUGGGUUCCGAUUGAGAGAACAAGCAGCAAGAGUCGAUCCUCCGAUAAGAUAAAGUGAGAUGGUAGAUUACUUCUUGCAAACAUUGGAGCCUACCUAUUUCGGUCAUCUAGUGACGUUUGUCGGAAAAUCAUUUAAUGAAGUGGUAAAGAUGGGAGCCAUGAUUGAAGAUGGAUUGAAGUUAGCAAAAUCUUGAGCUAUUCGGCAUUGAAGGCAACCACCCAGGCCAUCCAAAGCGGUACUAGUGGUGUGCUCGGAAACAACAAGAAGGAAUAAGUCGCUACAGUUGAAGCUAGUACUUGGUCCAGGUCCAACAAUACCCCACCCUACUACAACCAACCCAGACCUCACCAUCCAAAUUAUCCAUAUACCCCAUACGGCCUACCACAACAUUACUAUCCAACACCAGAACCACACUUUUUUGUCCACCACACUCAGACAUACACUCAGCCUCUGGCGCACCCGCAAUGGCGUGCACCGGCUCUCCAAAAUACAUAUCCACCUCCACAAAACACCUAUCCACCUCCCAUGGCUAAUAGACCAAGAACCGUCUUUCACCCAAACCAAUAUUUCAGAAGUGAAAAGGCCCCGAAAUAGAAAUUAUUUACUCCGCUGGGAGAAUCUUACACCUCUCUUUUCCACAGAUUGAAACAGUUGGGAAUGUUGACCCAAAUUGAGCCCAAAGUACCAAAUCCCCCUCCCAGAAACCUGGACCAUUCUGUUAGCUGUGAGUAUUGCUCAGGGAUGUCGGGGCAUGAUACUGAGAAGUGCUAGAAAUUGAAACGCAGUUCAAGAACUUAUUCAUAAUUGCCGUAUUGAGGUACAGGCUCUGGAGGCGCCAAACAUUAAUCAAAACCCGUUGCCUGCGCAUCACUAGACUAACAUGAUUGAACUGAUACAUAAGGGAGCCAUCAUGCCCCAAAUCCGAGGGGCAUGACCGGCACUCAACCGGGUAUCCCCAGUCGAGUAGACCUGGGUGCCUCUCCUAUUUCCUACGCGUUACCCCUCAUUAUUCAAUGAUAAUUAACCAAAAGAUACCAAAUUUUCAAUUGAAAGAACACAUGAUUUCUCUUUUAUAAACACACAUUAUGAUUAACAGGGAACAUCUUUUACUUUGAUACCAAGUUUGUCACGCCCCAUAUUCGAGGGCAUGACCGGAACUCAACAGGGUAUCCCCAGUCGAGUGGACCUGGGUGCCUCUCCUAUUUCCCACGCGCUGCCCCUCAUUAUUCAAUGAUAAUUAACCAAAAGAUACAAAAUUUGCAAUUGAAAGAACACAUGAUUUCUCUUUUAUAAACACAUAUUAUGAUUAAUAGGAAACAUCUUUUACAAAACAUACAUUAUGAUUAACACGGAACAUGGUAUACAAGUUUACAACGCCCAAACCAUACACCUCUAUACAUAAGUUCUAACCCAUAUACCACUGUCUACGGAGCAUCUAAGAGAAAUAUAAUACCACACUUAACGGCGACAAGGCCCCGGCUAUACCUUUACAAAAGGAAACAAGACUCCAAAAAUACAACAUGGGUGGCAUGAGCCACACAAGGCCCCAGAAAGAAAGGGGCUAACCAACACGAAUACCGCCGAUAGAGAGGAGGAGGAGCUACGAACGGUAGACUGGAGUGCUUGCCACGGAUCCACCUACAAUUAUUACACGAAUGUAGCGCCCCCGACAAAAGGGACGUCAGUACAUUUGAAUUGUACUGGAAUGUAUGAAAAAACUCUGUCCCAAGUAAACUCAAGCCAAAUUUCAUAUACAAGUAUAGAACUGAACAACAAUAGUACAAGUACAACCAUGGAUCAACAACCAAACAUUUCACAACGAAUGAUUACAAGUAUAGAACUGAACAACAAUAGUACAAGUACAACCAUGGAGCAACAACCAAACAUGUCACAACAAAUGAUUCAAGUAGUCAAACAAAGGGGCAAUCCGUGCCCCACAUGUUACAAACUCUCCUGGUGUCUCCUUUCACAAUUCCACAUUUAUCAUUUCGUGAUUCAUAUUCAUAUCAAUAGUGAUAUUGGAUCACAUUUUCCACCCUUAUUGCCGCGUCCACCCUUAUUACCUCGGAAACCCUUAUCACCCCAACCCACACUUAUUUCACCAUGUUGUGGCGCGCAACCCGACCCCGCUUGACAGUUUUCAGUUCACAAAAACAAACAGAAUAACAACAAAUACAAGGAAUCAACUAUGGAACAACCUCGUCUACCCUUAUUACCUCGGCCAUCCUUAUCACCCCAAACCACACCGUAUCUCACCGUGUUGGGACGUGCAACCCGACCCCGCCUGACAGUUUUCAAUUCACAACAACAAACUGCAUAACAACAAAUACAAGAAAUCAACUAUGGCACAUUGUUAAAAUAGAUCCACAACAAGGGUAAUGAAAUCCCACAACUAGCAACAAUAAUUUCCUCAUGUUCAUCAAAUUGGUACACAAUUUGGAUUAUCACAACAGUNNNNNNNNNNNNNNNNNNNNNNNNNNNNNNNNNNNNNNNNNNNNNNNNNNNNNNNNNNNNNUACACAAUUUGGAUUAUCACAACAGUUGUUCACAACUAAUCACACACGUUGUUCCACAUUAUUUCCAUUUCCACUGUUCCACAUUAUUUCCAUUUCCAGUGUUUCACAUUAUUUCCAUCUCCAUUAUUCCACAUUAUUUCCAUUUCCAAACUCUUCCAAAUUACAAGUUCCACAACUUUAACCACAAAGUGUUACCACACAAUUAUACAACACAAAAGCUUCACAAUGAUUCCCACAAGAAUAUCAACUAUCAAUAAUUUCACGACUAACACAGGGCAAUUUCACAAAGAUCACAGUUAGCCAUACAUACCUGGAGUUGAUUAUUCCCUUUUAAACCUCUAGUCCAAUUCGCCAAGCAAUAAAAGAGUCAAUCUAGUUCAUGAUCAACACUUAGGUUUUUAGAAAUUUAAACUCAUAGUUACUACCCAAUUCCCUUUUUACAAGAUUUUUGAGUUUUGAAUACAUGCACAAAGAUUUUACCCCUUCUAGCUGGAGGUCUCCCCUCCUCACUAGAAUCCUCCCACAUCUCAAACCACAAACGCACAACUCUAUUCAACCUGUAUGAAGCCAAUUCUACCCUUUCUAUCUCUGUAGCCUUCAUCACUCGAAGGGUCUUGUACAUCUCAUCAAUGAAUUCUUGCGGAUCGGCCUCUGGGUAUGUGCCUGAGAACUUUGGAGGUGACAAUUUCAUACACUGGUAAACUCUGGAGCUGGAGGAAUCUCCCUAUCCGCUGGAGGACAUAGGGGUAUCAUGAGAUCUCUGGGCCUGGGCGGCCACUAACUAGGUCAACAUGCGGAUGGAUCCCCUAAGGUCUCCAUAGAUGACACAAGGGCAUCAUGAGAUCUCUGGGCCUGGGCCGCCACUAACUGGAUCAACAUAAGAAUAUCUCCCAUAAGGUCUCCAUCAAAAAUCCCGGGAUUGGAAGCUGGAGCAACAUCAGGAUUAGGAGAAUUAACAGAAGGGAUAGUAGCACCCUCGGCCGCUGCUGGAACAUGAUUUCUUGGAUCAGGAACAGAUGGAGCAGGCAAAUUCAGAACUGGGGAAUCACUCUCACCCAUGCCAGUCAGCACAUAAUCCACAGCCGCACUGGAAGUAGCGUUGGCCCCUAGGCCGAGUCUAGCUUUCUUCUUGGGUGCCAUUACUGAAAAUUCGAAAUAAAGCACGAAUUAGACACAACAUCACUUCACCGCAGGAACUUGGAAUAACAAAGAAGAGGAUCAUUAUUCCUAAAUGCACGUGUAGCCCCCAACUUAUAGAUGUGGUCGACAAUACACAGAUAAGAAGGGCACUACUAGGCACUGCUCCGAGACAUCCUAGGACUCCUUUAAUACCUUAGGCUCUGAUACCAAACCGUGUGGCCCCCAACUUAUAGAUGUGGUUGACAACUCACCGAUAAGAAGGGCUCUACUAGGCAUGGCUCCCAGACAUCCUAGGACUCCUUUACAACCUUAAGCUCUGAUACCAAGUUUGUCACGCCCCAAAUUCGAGAUGCAUGACCGGCACUCAACCGCGUAUCCCCAGUCGAGUGGACCUGGGUGCCUCUCCUAUUCCCACGCGUUAUUCAAUGAUAAUUAACCAAAAGAUACCAAAUUUGCAAUUGAAAGAACACAUGAUUUCUCUUUUAUAAACACACAUUAUGAUUAACAGGGAACGUCUUUUACAAAACAUACAUUAUGAUUAACAGGGAACGUGGUAUACAAGUUUGCAGUGCCCAAACCAUACACCUCUAUACAUAACUAACCCAUAUACCACUGUCUAUGGAGCCUCUAAGAUAAAGAUAAUACCACACUUGCCGGCGAAGGCCCCGGCUAUUCCUUUACAAAAGGACAAAAGACUUCGAAAUACAACAACAUGGGUGGCAUGAGCCACACAAGGCCCCAGAAGUAAAGGGGCUCACCAACAUGAAUUCUGCCGAUAGAGAGGAGGAGGAGCUACGAACGAUGGACUGGAGUGCCUGCCACGGAUCCACCUACAAUCAUAACAUAAAUGUACCGCCCUCGGCAAAAGGGACGUCAGUACAUUUGAAUUGUACUGGCAUAUAUGACAAACUCUGUCCCAAGUAAACUCAAGCCAAGUUUCAUAUACAAGUAUAAAACUGAACAACAAUAGUACAAGUACAGCCAUGGAGCAACAACCAAACAUGUAACAACAGAUGAUUCAAGUAGUCAAACAAAGGGGCAAUCAGUGCCCCACAGGUUACAAACUCUCCAGCUGUCUCCUUUCACAAUUCCUUUAUCAUUUCAUGAUUCAUAUUCUAUCAAUAGUGAUAUUGGAUCACAUUUUCCACCCUUAUUGCCUCGUCCACCCUUAUUGCCUCGGCCACCUUAUCACCCCAACCCACACCUUAUCUCACCGUGUCGUAGCGCGCAACCCGACCCCGCCUGACAGUUUUCAAUUCACAACAAACAGCACAACAACAAAUACAAUAAAUCAACUAUGAUACAUUGUUAAAAUAGAUCCACAACAAGGAUAAUGAAAUCCCACAACUAGCAACAACAAUUUCCUCAUGUUCAUCAAAUUGGUACACAAUUUGGAUUAUCACAAUAGUUGUUCACAACUAACCACACACGUUGUUCCACAUUAUUUCCAUUUCCAUUGUUCAACAUUAGUUCCAUUUCCAUUGUUCCACAUUAUUUCCAUUUUCAUUGUUCCACAUUAUUUUCAUUUCCAAACUCUUCCAAAUUACAAGUUCCACAACUUUCACCACAAAGUGUUACCACACAAUUAUACAACAUAAAAGCUUCACAAUGAUUCCCACAAGAAUAUCAACUAUAAACAAUUUCACGACUAACACAUUGCGAUUUCAUAAGAAUCACAGUUAGCCAUACAUACCUGGAGUUGAUUAUUCCCUUUUAAACCUCUAGUCCAAUUCGCCAAGCAACCAAGAAGUCAAUCUAGUUCAUGAGCAACACUUCGGUUUUUAGAAAUUUAAACUCAUAGUUACUACCCAAUUCCCUUUUUACAAGAUUUUAGAGUUUUGAAGACAUAUGUCGACGCCCCCUUUUUUCUUAAAAGAAAGUGAAAUCGGGUUUUACGACAUUAUGGGAAAACAACUCUAUUUCCUAUUUGGGAAUUGGGCUAUGGAAUUGGAAGAGUAGCCACCUAAUGAUUAUAGUGCAUUAGUACACUUAAGAGAGAUUAUUUUGAAAAGAAAACCAGAGUUCGGGUAAAGGUUUGACAUUAUUUCGAGGGGAAGGUGUUAGGCACCCCUCAAGAUCCACUAGUGCGGUUCCCGACCUUAUCAAUUGUGACUUUAUGAAAGAUGAAGUGAUUAACCAAGUAAGGCUUACAAAUAGAACAUUCAUAUAACUUGAGACCCCGUCCAUAUUAAUCGUGACUUUACAAAAGAUAAAACAAAUUAAACAAAUAAGGUUCACACAUGUAACAUUCGCACAACUUUUAAAGAUUAAAAGAAGAAAGAAAGACGCAAAUUUAAAAUAAAAGAGAAUUGAUUUGAAAAAGCAUUACUAUAUGAAAGCAUUUAAAUAAAGUAAAUAAGAGGAAGGAGGAUCCUAGGUUUGACUACAAUAUGGAUCAUUCGAUGCAAUAUCCCGCACAUAUUCCCNNNNNNNNNNNNNNNNNNNNNNNNNNNNNNNNNNNNNNNNNNNNNNNNNNNNNNNNNNNNNNNNNNNNNNNNNNNNNNNNNNNNNNNNNNNNNNNNNNNNNNNNNNNNNNNNNCUUUUUGAUAUUAUCGCAUCGUCAUCAUCUCCAUAUUCUACCCUUCCCACCCUUUAGAGGUUAUUUAAGUGUGUGAAUCGGUCACGAAUGCUUAUUGCGUGCUAUUACCCGUCUCGUUCUUUAGAUCCUAGAGGGCACUUAGGAUCGCUAUUCCUAUAAGGUAGGAACUAGGUAGAACCCUUAAGUUUAAAGGUUAAAAUACUAGGCGACAUUCAAAAACAAAUAGGACUUGCAUGUAAGGGAAUCAUAUAGAUCAUAUAAAAGGCUCAAAUAACCCUCUAUAAGAGAACACGUAAGUAGCACGCCUCAAACACAUGUAAGGUCUAAGGAAAAGAGAGUUUUAAAAGCUGGAGUGUUGACAAAUAUAUUUAAGACAACAGUUGAAACAAUUUUUGAAAAACCAAAUUUGCAUAAAAGGUUGGAUGAAAACAUUUGGGACUUGAGAAAGGAAAAUGGGUGUGUGACAGUUUAGAAAUUAGAAGGAAAACCUUUUAAACACACUUGAAAAUACAUAACACGUAUGAUAAACCAGUUUUCGGAUAGGAUAGGUAAAAACAGAUGUAAAAUUAUUCGGAAAUGUUAAGGAACGUGUAAGUAUAUUAUUUUUUAAAGUUUCAGAAGAAACAGUAUUCAGACAAGUUUUAUAAAAUAGUAAUCCAGUUUUGGACUAGGAAGAAGAGUAAUUUAGUAAAAUAUUUGCACAGAAGGGAUUGAAAUAAGGCACAAUUUUAGUGUAAAAAUCAGCGGACCUUAGAGAGGCAAACAAAAUCAGACGGUUUAAAUAGCCUAAGCAGGAUUUACGGCGAUUAAUCAAUUUUAUUUAACCCAAGGUUUGCCUAGGCAUUUCUUAACCAUAUGAGAAAGGUGGACAUACACGUCAUUUUUAUAAAGGAACGGGUUAACCAGUUUUACGUCUAUUUAACAAAAUUAGUGAGGCGUUCAACAGUGGUAAAAAAAGAAGACCCUAAGUAUAUGAUAUCUAAUGCAUAUAAAGGCCCUAAAACAUGGUAUCUAAAUGCAAGGCAGUAAUUUGAUUAUUAACUAAUUGUGAUUAUAAAAAUAACAAGCUAAAAGUAAAAGACCUAAGAACAAGAUUUCUAUGUGUGAGAUGCAUGUCCUAUACAUGGUUUCUAUUAUGCAAAUAGGUAAGUAAAGUCCUAUAAACAUGUUCUCUACCCAUUCCCUUAAUAAUCAUGCAUAUCCCUUCCCAAUUUCACUAUAAUCCCAAUUUUUCUUUACAAAUUAUUACAGACCAAGUAAUUUAAAAAAUACAGCAGUGAAAGAAAAGAAGAAUCUAUUCAAUAAGGAGCAUACAGCCAGGCCCAAGCAUCUCCAACCUCACUCCUUUCGAGUUUCACAGCCAUUACCAAUGCUUGGGUGCGGCAAAGUUCCCUAAGGGUUCGUUUGAACCCCUGGUCAAUACCAAGCACCCAAAAAUUUCCCAAUUAGACAAGUAAAAGCAUGGAAGUACCAGCCUUGUACAUCAGAGUUCCAUGGUUGCUCAAGGCUCCCAUGGCAGUGCUUGCACUAAGAGAAAGACCCUAAAGCUCUAAGAAUGAGAUUGUAAUUGAAAGAAUUGAAAACAGUUUAAGAAAACAGUUGAAAGAAUUGAGAGAGUAAAAAAGAGGGUUGAAAAAGUUAAGGCAGUUUAAUAGUUGAAAGAGUUGAAAAAGUUCUUUUGAAAUUAUUUUAGACUGACCAGUUUUAAAACAGCAGGCAUCACACAAAUAGGGGAGCAAAGGGGAAAGGGGGAUAAACAAGUAAAGUGAACUACAGACAUACAGACAACAUGUUGGAGGAAAAUAAUCAGACAUGAUUUUAAGCCAAGGGUUCAAUUUACUGCACCAAAUUCUAAUACACUUAGCUUCAAACAGAGAUUUUAGGUUAAACAAGUAGCCAAGCAAACAUGGAUGCAUGGUAGUAGCACACAGGGAAGGGUAUACAUUAAUUGAGACAAGGGAGGGGAUACGGGAGAAAAUAAGUAAAGUGUACAGUCAACAUAUUUGAGGAAAAUAAUCAAGCAUGGUUGUAAAACAAUGAUUGAAUUCUUACUGCACCAAAUCCCAAAUAUUAUCAACCUCAGGGAGAGGUUUCAGGACUAAGUAGCCAAACAGUAGUGCACAUGGAAGAAGAACAUGCAUUGAGACAGGGAAAGGGGAAUAGGGGAAAACAUGCUAAGUUAGACUACUAGACUAACAACUACAAGCUAGUGGCAAUAAUAGCAACUGAACCAUAGGUAAAAACACACAAGAAACCAUAUGAAUUGCAAAACUAAAAGGACCAUGUUGUUUUGGAGGCUAUAUCUUAAAUAGGUGACAUACCAGUUGAAAGUAAUAAGACGCAAUAGCAAUGCAAUAGUGCACAAAGGGAGAGCAAAGUGUGCAAUUGUAUAUUAAAUAGGUGACAUACCAGUUGCAGGUAAUAAGAUACAAUAGCAAUGCAAUAGUGCACAAAGGAAGAGCAAGGUGUGCAAAGAAUGAGAGCAGCAGUGUGGAUACAAUAACAAUGCAAUAGUGCCCAAAGGGAGAGCAAAGUAUGUAAAAACUGAGAGCAGCAGUGUGAGUAACAACAGUAGGAGAAUAAAAUCAGCAAUAUGAGAAUAGCAGCAACAACAGACCCAAUGGAGACAAAUAAAUAGAACCCAAUAGUGUAAAGUAAUCAACCCAAGUUACUCAAUCCUUGAUGUUAGACGAUUGAGUGUUCAAAGAAGAGAAUGAGAGAGUAUAGAAAUAGCAUAGAAAGAGAGAAUUCAGAGAGUUUUAGAUUGUGAGAGCAGUGUGUGUUCGUUUUUUCAAAGAGAAAGGGGGGAGUAUUUAUAGUACUGAAAACGAGUAAACAAACAAGGUAUCAAUCCAUAUUUAAGGAACUGAUAUCAAUCAAAAUUAAAUAAGUAUAGGGACUCCCCUUUAAUUAAGGAAUCAUAGUUAAACGGUACUCAGCAGUCAUUUUGAAAAGGUAAGGAAUUACAAGGUAUGGCCUGGCCACAUAAAGAAACAAAAAUAGUUAAGGUAUACAUUGCAGGCUAGGUGCAUGAUACUUAACAAGGGAAAUAUGUCAAGCAAGUAAAUCAGCAUAUUUGUGCACACAUAUAAGGAAAAUACCACUUAAAUACUGGGAAACAAUUUUUGAAAUCGAAAACUUGGGGGUUCAGUUAUCUAAUUGGGGAAUGUAUCCCACUGAUUGAGGAAGAAAAUUCAAAAUCAAUACCAAAACUGUAAGGAAAAUACAAAAAUCACAAUUUAAGGCUAGUAAUCACAGUCUUAAAGAGAGCUUUUAAGAAUCAGUAUAAAAUCACCAUGUAAACAGCCAGAAAUCACAGUCUUAAAGAGAGCUUUUUUGAAUCAGUAAAAAAUCACCAUGUAAACAACCAGAAAAAACCUUAAGAGAAGAACAACGACAUGGUAUGGGUAUGAAACACUAGUAAAAAAAGAUCAAAGUAAAGAGCACGGAGAUCAUAGAAGAAACCAGAAGAAACAUGCAAAUAGGCAGAUACAGAUACAAACAUGUAGGGUUACGGUUCUUAUCAGCUUUUAAUAGAAGGCUUAGAAGUAGUACUGAGAGUUACGGAUUAGUGCAAAAAAUCAUAAAAGUAAAGUAUUUUCGAAAGGGGUUACAAACCCUAGCAAUAGAAAUCUCAGUAUGAAACCCAGGUUAACAAGGAAAAAAACAAACAAGUAAAAUAAACAAACACAAACGAAUAUAUAGCACUCAGAAGAGUAGAAGAAACGAUGUUGAAGAAGGUGUGAAAAACCCUAAUUUGAAAGAAAAAAUGGUCAUCAUCCGAAAAUUUUUGAAAUAACCCGAAAUGCUAAGUAAAAAUAGAGUAGAAAACAAAAAUAAGACUAAGAGUUGUUUUAAAAGAGUAGAGAUUAAAGAGGAAAAUUAGGGUUUUCAAACAAAUUAGGGAAAACGAAGAACCUGGCUGUGAAACUCGUAUACAAUGCCAUAGAAGGCAUCAUCGUACAAAGACCACCGGAGAAAAGGCGGAAAAUAGACCCAAGUAGAGCUUCAAUGACCGUCUUUCAUGGCGGAAGCUGCUAGGCUUCAAUCUUGAGAUAAGAAACCACGAUAUAAGGACUCCAUGACUGCCGAAAGUCGAGAGAAGUGAGGGAGGAGUGAGCCGGAGAGGCGAUGAUUUCAUCAGAGAUGAAGGAGGGAACCAGAAGGUUCUAGAGAGACGAAGGGUUGGAGAGAAUUUUGGAAGUGAAAGGGGGUACAAGGGCGGCGGAUUUAGAAAAUGAAUUAGGGUAAAGGGGGGUAUUGGGUUUAAUUAUGGUAAGGUUAAUUGUGGACCGUUGAUCAAAAUGAUCAACGGGCACGAUUUAAAACGGGGAUCCAGGUGGGUUGAUCCAAAUAGGUUUGAGUCGGGAGAUUUUGUAAUUGGGUCAUGAUUUGGGGGUUGAAUUUGGGCUUAAAAUGUGGCCAAAUUUGAAAGAUUAAAGGGCUAUAAAUUAAACGCCCACUUUUCCCUAAUUAAUUUAUAAAAUAUAGUAAAUAAUUUUAUAAAAAUACAAUAAAAAUACUGAGAUAAAAUGAUACGUUUUGGGAUUAAUUAAAAAUAUUAGGGAUGAUUGUGUACUUGAAAUACAUAUUAAAUUGAGAAAUAGGCUAAAGUUGCAAUUUAAUGCAAUUUUAGUUUAAAAAUAUCUAAUGGCUUUGCAAAAAUUCUGCAAAAAUUACAUAAGUUAUAUUUUUAUGUAGAUGAGAGAGUAAAAUAAAUUAUUUAUUAAAAUAACAAGGUUUGAUACUAAAUAUUGGAUUUUCUAGUACAAAAUAAGUUGUAAAUUGGUUUUAAAAAUACUAGAAAAAUUAUAGAAAAUACCAAACCUUUCGUGGAUGCUUAUUUAUACAUUCAAAAUCUAUUUUGAAAUUAAUUUGGGUACAAAGAUCCAAUGGAAAAAUUGGGUAUCAACAGCUGCCCCUCUUUACCAGAGGAGGAUGAAAGAGUUGUCGGGUAAAGAUAGGAUGGCCAAUUUUGACCGGAAAUGACGAUUGUAAGAGAAGUUCGAUCGUGCUCUGGCUUCUGAGCUGCCUACAUAUCCCUGGUUUUACAGGAAUCAGGCCGUAUGUAGUUCAGGAGCCAUCGGCGAAAUAUGCCAAUGAAAAUUUGGAAGAGGCGGAUGCAACGGGGUUUGAAAUUUGUCAAGGGUUCGGAGAUCGGACGGUUACGAAAAACUGGAGCGGGAUCGCUCCCACUGAGACGACCAUGCUGGCCGGUGUACCUGCAAAUGAACGGUGUGCGGAUAUUUUGCAUAAUUUAAACGUGAUGCAAGUUCCCUUUGGACCAUGAAUGCUGUUUUCGGACGAUUAAGAUGACGUCCUCAGACAAUGAUGUCCUAGGCUAUGAAGAGCGCAAAAGUAAAGAUUCGCAGGCCAUGAAAUGGUUUUCUCGGACUAUGCGGAUGGUGCCUCUGAAAUAUGACGCCUUUGAAUAAGUUGGCGAUAUUUCAGCCCAUGAAAAGGUGGAAAUCUUUCAGCUGGAUGAAUGCAAGGGUUGUGAUGUUUCACAGCCUAUGAAAAGGUGGCAAUCUUUCAGCCAAAUGGAUGCAUGGGUGGCGAUGUUUCAGCCAAACCAAGAAUUUAAAAUGCAAGGCAGAAAUAUUUCAGCCAAAUGAAACAGGGUGGCAUUUUUUCAGCCAAAUGCAAAAUAAAAGAGGUAGACCUUAACCUCGAAAGGCAGAGAAUGGCCUUAUGCAAUGCAGGAUGGAGACAGAGUUUAGUCUCGGAAGGCAGCAGAUAGCCUUAUGCAGGAUGGAGGUAGAGCUUAACCUCGUAAGGCAGAUAAUAGCCUUAUGCAAGAUGGAGGCAGAGCUUAGCCUCGAAAGGCAUAGAGUAGCCUUAUGUAUAAUGCAGAUGGAGACAGAGCUUAGUCUCGAAAGGAAGAAGAUAGCCUUACGCAAGAUGGAGGUAGAGCUAAACCUCGGAAGGCAGAGAAUAGCCUUAUGCAAGAUGGAGGUAGAGCUUAACCUCGGAAGGCAGAGAAUAGCCUUAUGCAAUGCAGGAUGGAGACAGAGUUUAGUCUCGGAAGGCAGCAGAUAGCCUUAUGCAGGAUGGAGGUAGAGCUUAACCUCGAAAGUCAAAGAAUAGCCUUAUGCAGGAUGGAGGCAGAGCUUAGCCUCGGAAGGCAGAGAAUAGUCUUUUGCAAGAUGGAGGCAGAGCUUAGCCUCGAAAGGCAGAGAGUAGCCUUAUGCAAGAUGUAGGUAGAGCUUAACCUCGGAAGGCAUAGAAUAGCCUUAUCCAAUGUAAAAUGCAGAUGGAGACAGAGCUUAGUCUCGAAGAAUGCAGAAAUAUAAAGGAGAGGAUGAUGGUGAUUUUCUUAGCUGGUAGAUGAUUGCACUAUCGAUGACUGCCGGGGAAGCGUUGAAUGUAGAUAGUGAGCCUUUGCGAGGUAAGUAGUGGUUUCGGGGAACUUUGGUUUUGUAAAGCUCCGGCAUCGCCUAUUUGUACCCUGGAUUCCUUCAUCCAAAGAAAAAUCAUGAGUUAUGUAAGGGGGAGGUUAGUUCGCAUCCCUCAACUCGUGGCGUCUUGUACCAUUUGGGGUAGCGUUGCUGAACGAUAGUGAUCCAAAUGAUUUUAUACAAAAUGUGUCAAAUAUGAUGCGAAUGUAUAUGCAUAAGUAAAGCAAAGGAUAGUUUUUGUUUUAUGAUGAACCACAACUGCAACGUGGUUCAAGGCACGACAACCUCGCUGGAUCCGGAAUUUUGAGGGUCCUCCUCAAAAUUCUUCCCUAGUUUACUGAGGUGGCACUGUUGACAACAGUGCUGAAUGACUGGAAGCGGAUUGACCUUAUAAUUUUGGGGGUCCUCCUCAAAAUUCUGCCCCAGUUUACUGGGUCGAUGCUGAUACGAAGAUUGACAAGUUGACUUCGGAAUUUUGAGGGUCCUCAAAAUUCUGCCCUAAUUAGAAAUGCGGGGGGNNNNNNNNNNNNNNNNNNNNNNNNNNNNNNNNNNNNNNNNNNNNNNNNNNNNNNNNNNNNNNNNNNNNNNNNNNNNNNNNNNNNNNNNNNNNNNNNNNNNNNNNNNNNNNNNNNNNNNNNNNNNNNNNNNNNNNNNNNNNNNNNNNNNNNNNNNNNNNNNNNNNNNNNNNGGGGGGGGGGGGGGGGAUUGGAAUUUUAUUAAAGACGUGACCGAACCCCUAGGGCUGCCUACGUAUCCCCUCUUAAACGGGAGUCAGGUUAGAUGUAGUUCAAAUUACAUCAUAAAGAAAAGCAUACUGCUUAACUGUAAUAUCUCUUCAUUGCAUCUGUGUUGAUCGGUUUUGUCCAGAUUUCCCCAUCCAUUUCUACAAGAAUAAGGGCUCCUCCAGUUAGAACACGGUGGACCAUGUACGGACCCUUCCAGUUGGGAGAGAACUUCCCUUUGGCCUCAUCUUGAUGUGGAAAUAUAUUCUUCAACACCAGCUUCCCUGGUGUGAACUUCCUUGGUCGAACUCUCUUGUUGAAGGCUCUGGACAUUCUGUUCUGAUAUAACUGACCGUGACAGAUAGCGUUCAUUCUCUUUCCAUCUAUGAGGGCUAACUGCUGGUACCGAACCUUGACACACUCUGCGUCUUCUAGCUCAGCUUCUUGUAUGAUUCUCAAGGACGGAGUUUCUACUUCGGCGAGAAUUACCGCUUCUGUACCGUAAACAAGCAUGUAGGUAGUUGCCCCAGUUGAUGUGCGAAUUGUAGUACGGUAACCCAAUAAAGCAGACAACAACUUCUCAUGCCACGGAUUAUGCCUUUCGAUCAUUUUUCUUAGUAUUUCCCUGAUGUUCUUGUUUGCUGCUUCCACGGCUCCAUUCAUCUGAGGUCUAUAAGCCGUAGAAUUUCUAUGUCAGAUCUUGAAAGUUUCACACAUCGCUUUCAUCAAGUCGCUGUUGAGAUUGGAACCGUUAUCAUUGAUGAUUGACUCUGGAACAUCGAACCAACAAACAACAAGAUCCUGGACAAAGUCUGCCACGACUUUCUUGGUUACUGCUUUGUAUGAUGCUGCUUCGACCCAUUUAGUAAAGUAGUCAAUUGCCACUAGAAUGAACCUGUGUCCGUUUGAUGCGGCAGGCUCUAUUGGUCCAAUAACAUCCAUUCCCCAAGCGGCAAAUGACCAUGAUGAACUCGUUGCGGUGAGCUCGUUUGGAGGUACCUUUAUCAUGUCUGCAUGUAUCUGGCAGCAGUGACACUUCCAGACAUACUGAAUGCAAUUUGUUUCCAUAGUCAUGCAACAAUAUCCUACCCUAAGUAUCUUCUUUGCUAGAACAAAAUCGUUCAUGUGCGGUCCACAAGUCCCUGAGUGCACUUCUUCCAACAACUUGGUUGCUUCCGUCGCAUCGACACACCUUAAUAGUCCCAAAUCGUGAGUCCUCCUAUACAAGAUUCCUCCGCUGUGAAAGAAAUUGUUGGACAACCUUUGAAGUGUGCAAUUCUGAGUAGUAUUAGCAAGCUCUAGAUAUUCCCAUGUUGUUAGAUACAUUUUGAUAUCGUGGAACCAGGGCUUUCCGUCGGCUUCUCCCUCAACAUGUGCACAAUAUGCCAGUUGGUCAUGAAUCUUGACCUGGAUAAGGUUGAUGAAAUUUGUAUUUGGAUGCUGAAUCAUGGAUGAUAAAGUGGAAAGCGCAUCUGCAAACUCAUUUUGUAUUCUUGGAACAUGCUGGAAUUCCAUUUUUCUGAACCUCUUUCUUAACUCCUAUAUGUGGUGCAGAUAAGGGAGUAUCUUUGUAAUUCUUAGUUGCCCAUUCUUCUCAAACUUGGUGUAUGAGUAAGUCUGAAUCUCCAAUCACUAGCAGCUCCUGGAUGUUCAUAUCAAUGGCCAGUUUAAGCCCCAAACUGCAAGCUUCAUACUCGGCCAUGUUAUUGGUGCAAAGGAACCUGAGCUUGGCGGAUAUCAUGUAAUGUUGACCGGUUUCUGAGACUAGAACUGCUCUUAUACCAACUCCUUUGAAAUUUACGGCUCCAUUGAAAAACAUCCUCCAACCAUCAUAGGAUUCUGCAAUAUCUUCUACUAUAAAAGCUACAUCCUCGUCGGGAAAAUACGUUUUCAAUGGUUCGUAUUCCCAUUCCAUAGGAUUUUCUGCGAGAAGAUCUGCCAAAGCAUGUCCUUUAACUGCCUUCUAGGUGACAUAGACAAUGUCGAAUUCACUCAACAAAAUUUUCCACUUGGCGAGCUUGCCAGUGGGCAUGGGCUUCUGAAAAAUAUACUUUUGUGGAUCCAUUCUUGAUAUAAGGUAGGUAGUGUAAACAAAGAAAUAAUGCCUCAACUUCUGAGCUAUCCAUGUCAAAGCACAACAGGUGCGUUCUAGCAAAGAAUACCGAGCCUCAUACGGGGUAAAUUUCUUGCUGAGGUAGUAAAUAACUUGCUCCUUUCUCCCCGUCUCAUCAUGUUGUCCCAAGAAACAACCAAAUGCUCCAUCCAAAAUCGCGAGAUAGAGAAAUAAAGGCCUCCCAAGCUCAGGUGGAACCAAGACUGGAGGCGUAGACAAGUAUUCCUUGAUCAUGUCGAAAACCUUUUGACAUUCAUCGGUCAAUUUGGUGGCGGCAUCCUUCUUCAGCAUCUUGAAGAUAGGUUCACAGAAACUCCUGAAUAGAUUUGACCUUUGAUGGAUCCAGCUCUACUCCUCGGCGACUCACGCUGAAACCCAAUAACUUUCCCGCAGGGACCCCAAAUGCACACUUGGAAGGAUUCAGUUUCAAGUUAUACCUACUUAGUCUGUUGAAAAACUUUUGGAGGUCCUCCAUGUGAUCUGCAACCUUCUUGGACUUAAUGAUGAUGUCGCCACGUAUACCUCAAUCUCCUUAUGUAUCAUGUCAUGGAAGAGGGUAUUCAUGGCCCUCAUGUAAGUGGCUCCUGCAUUUUUCAAUCCAAACGACAUCAUUCUGUAGCAAUACAUUCCCCAAGGCGUGGUAAACGCCAUUUUCUAUGCAUCUUCCUUAUCCAUCCAUAUCUGAUAGUACCCCGCAAAGCAAUCGACGAAUGACUGCAACUCAUGCUUAGUGCAGUUUUCGAUCAGAAUGUGUAUGUUUGGCAAUGGGAAAUCGUCUUUGGGGCUGGCCCGGUUGAGAUCCCGGUAGUCGACACAGAUUCUAACUUUCCCAUCCUUCUUCGGUACUGACACAAUGUUUGCUAACCAAGUUGGAUACUCUACCACUUGAAGAACUCUUGCUUUGACCUGCUUGGUGACCUCUUCUUUGAUUUUUAAACUCAUAUCUGGCUUGCAUUUUUUGACCUUCUUCUUUACCGGCAGACAUGCAGGAUCUGUCGGUAACUUGUGAGCAACAAUGGAUGUGCUGAGGCCAGUCAUAUUGUCGUAAGACCCAUGCGAAGAUAUCCGCAUAUUCCCUUAAGAACUCUAUAUAUUCCUCUUUCUCUGUCCGUGAUAACUGAACACUAAUGCACGUUUCUUUAACAUUCUCUGUAUCUCCCAAAUAAACGACUUCGGUUUCAUCCAAGUUGGACUUAGGUCUAUUCUCAAAAUUCUCGGCCUCUUUGACAACCUCUUCUGGUAUAUCCUCCUCCUCUGAGUCUAUGUCUGUUUGUUCCAUAGCCUCGUUGCAAGUUACAUUUGUUGGUUCAUGGUAUAUCAUCCUCCUCUGAGUCUAUGUCCGUUUGUUGCAUAGCCUCAUUGCAAGUUACAGUUGUUUGUUCAUCAUCAAGAUACGUAAUAGUAAUGAUGUGUGAAAUAAACGUAAUUGUAAGAUGCUGGUACAUCGAUGACUUGGAAAUCAGCGUCAAACCAAGUGGGUCCCAUUUGCAAACACAGGCUAAUCCCCCCGAGAGUGGACCUCUGAGAACCUUCAAAAUCCUUAGCAUUAAUAGCCCCGUCUUUUAUCUCGUGUCCUUUGCCUAACUUCUUGAGGGUGAUCAAUGGACAAAUGUUGAGGCUAGAACCUCCGUCGUCUAAGAUCCUGGUGAUGAAACAAUCCUCACAUUGCACAGUGAUGUGCAGUGGUUUGUUAUGGCCGAGCUCCUCAUGUGGCAAUUCAUCCUCAUGUAAGGUGAUUUUUUGACUUUCCAAUACCUUCCCUAUCAUGUUUUCCAUCUCUCCUCCUGUUAUGUUGCUCGGGACAUAGGCCUCGCUCAAUAUCUUCAUCAAGGCAUUCUUAUGCGCCUCGAAAUUCUGUAGCAAAGCCAAGAUGGAAAUCUGUGCUGAAGUCAUAUUUAGCUGUUCGACAAUUGAAUAUUCAUUAGCCUAUAUCUUUCUCCAGAGGUCAUCGGGACCAGUUUCAUUGGGACGUCCAGAGGCUUGCUUGCUGGACUCAGUUAGGUGCUCUGGUGUGUACACCCUACCUGUUCUAGUCAUAUCUUGAGCGGCGAUUACUUCACCCGUGCAUGCUUUUCCCUUCCUUCUCACCUUGGCUAUGUAGACGGUAACUGCUUCACCAGUGCGCGCUUUUCCUUUCCUUCUCGCCUCGGUUGUGUAGUCCCAGGGUAUGGCAUUUGACUAAAAUGGGGUUAUGUCCGACAUGGUGACCGGAAUGGGCACCCUUGGAGGAAACAUAGCAACUUCAACUGGUGUGGGCGUCUUUGGAGUCCCAAACUCCACCUCAAUUGGUUUUGGCACUUUUUCAGGAGGUGCCUCAAACUUAAAUGGUACAGAUAUAUUCACCACGUUGUCCUCAGAUGGAAGGAUUUGCACAACAAUAGGAUUAAGAGUGACCGUCGGUUUCUUGAGCUCAUCUCCUUCAGAUAUCAAACCAAUUAACCCCUCGGGGUCCCAAUCGUCCUCAACCUCAAUCAUGUGGAUGACUCCACCUUUAUGGUCUGGAAGAGGGUUGUUACGAACAUUAGGAGCGGGCUCCUUAGCUGUGAUGACCUUGUUGUCAAUUAAGGUCUGGAUUUUAUCCUUCAACGAGCGACACUCGUCAAUGGCAUGGACCUUCAUCCCUGAACAGUAUGCGCAUGUUUUAUUUGGGUUGAUCAAUUGGGAAGGGUUUUAUGGGGUUAUGGCCAGGAUGGGUGUAACAUAUCCAGCGGCUUUGAGCUUUACAGUUGGUCAAUGGGUUCAGCAAUAGCAGUGUAGUGUCUGGGUGGUUUACGGUCAUAGUAUGGUCUUGGUCGCGGGAAGUUUUGGCAGGUAGGUGGUGAUGGAUAGUGAGGAGGUUGGAGUUGUAAUCUUGGUAUACGGGUGCAAGUUGGGAAUAUAGUGGCGAGGUGGGCUGAUAUGUUGGUGAUGGAGAUGUUUGGUAGACGAGAUGUGGGUUUUGAUAGGUAGGUGAAGGUGCUUCGUAAUUUAGAGAGGGUUGGUAUGUGAGUGGAGUUGGAGGGUACGGUUGGUAUUUCAUGGGAGAGUGGUUUCUCUGGCCAUUACGGAGUUUACAUCUUUUUUCUUUAUUGUACCACCAGAUUGCAAGGCUUUGUUGGUGGCCUGCAGCGCCUCAAGGUUAGUAACUAUACCACUUUUGAUCCCAUCUUCAAUCCUUUCUCCAAGCUUGAUGAUAUCAACACGUUUCUUUGUGUAGCCAUUAUGGAGUUUACAUCCUUUUUCUUCGACAUACCACCAGAUUGCAAGGCUUUGUUGGUGGCCUACAGUGCCUCAAGGAUAGUAACCAUACCAUUUUUUAUCCCCUCUUCAAUUAUUUCUCUCAGUUUGAUGCAGCGAACUUCCGCCCCUCUACCAGCAUCAAUCUCUUGUAUUACUGUGGGUCCUGAGCAGGAACGAAAAAUCUGUUCAUUUGUUCUUCUUCCAAAGCCGGCCUGACUUUGGCAGCUUCCGACCUCCAACGAGUAGCAUACUCGCGAAAGGUAUCGCUAGGCUUCUUCUUCAAAUUCUGAAUAUAGAACACGUCCGGCGCGUUCUCAAUGUUGAACCUGAAACGGUCCAUGAAAUCAAAUGCUAUGUUUACCAGCUAGUCCACUUCUUCGCAUCUUGGCUGAUGUACCAAGAUAACGCAUCACCUUUCAAGCUCCUCAUGAAUAAUUUCAUGCGGAUCUUUUCAUUUCUACCGACUCCCUUUAACUUGUCACAAUACAUCAUGAGGUGAACCCUGGGAUCAUCCGUACCAUCAAACAUUUCGAAAUUAGGAGGUUUGUACCCCUCGUGGAGUUCGACAUCAGGUUGAACACAAAGGUCUUCAUAAUUUAGACCCUCUACGCCUUUAUUACCUUCCACGCCUUAAACCCUGCUAGUAAGUUUCGUAAGUUCAGUAGCCAUGUUUUGAAUGAGUGAGUGAUUCUGACACAUCUGAUAUGGGCUGUGUAUAGUAUGGCACAGUAUCCCCAAAGAUAGGGGUAUUAUGGUAGUUUGGAGCAUUUUGAGGCUCAGGGAUGAGCGGUGGGGCAUUGUUGCGAACCUGGGUUGGAAUCUUCUGUGGAGGUGCAGGGACCUGGUUGUUGACAUCUGCAGCAGCAAAGGAGAUGGACAAGCUUUCCAAACUCCGGACCUGGUCCAGUUCCUCUCGAAACCUUAUUAAAGUUUGCUCCAAGUGAGAAGCAGUUUCUUUAGUGAUCGGGGUACCCUGAGAUGUUUCUUCAAUUUCCUUCCUUGCUUCGUUAUCUCCCAUCUUUCCUUUGUUUCUGUUUCUGGGAGGACUCGGAGAAGGAGGAGGAGGAGGAGGAGGAGGAGGAGGAGGACCCUUUGAUCUUGUUGAGUAUGCUGAUGGUGCCAGAAUGUAUGAACUAACCUUUGGGGAGGGGAAUAAAAAUAAAAGAAAAACAAAAGGUAAAAAGUUAGUGCGGGAGGAGGAGGAGGACCCUUUGAUCUUGUUGAGUAUGCUGACGGUGCCAGAAUGCACGAACUAACCUUUGGUGAGGGGAAUAAAAAAUAAAAGAAAAACAAAAAGGUAAAAAGUUAAUGCGGAUUCUGAGAAAGAGAACAUUGCGGUAUUUAAACACGUUGUUGAAGGAAUAUAAGUCGUUUCCUAUUUGGGUGCCUCGUUGUGCCCAAGGUAGGCCUAGCGACAAAUAUGAGUUGGAGAACUUGUAAUACCAAAUGCCUCAUUUUAUUGACAGAAAAUAGAACGAGUCAAAACAAACUGAAAUAAAGAAAAAUUGUCACUAGUGGCCAAGGGCGUUAUUACAUCAGGAAAGCAGUAAAAUCCUAACUACUUGGUCCCAGAAGGACCUUCCCCAGAUUCGUCAUCUUUGCCUCCUUCGUAUAGUUUCAUCAUCUCACGCAGUCCCAGCAACAAGUAAGCUCGAGCCAUGUGCCCACCUUCGUUUCCUUCAGCUUCCUGACAGUCAUUGAUCCUUUUCAAAAACUUGCCUUCCAGCUCUACUAGACUCUGUUCCAAGUACCCUAAACGUUUGUUUGCGCGGACAACCAUGUCCUUCCAUUCAUUGAUUACCUUCUCUUGAGCCUCUAGCAUUUCCCAAUGUUCACUUUCACACUCUCGCAUCCACUUGUGCAACUUAUACUUGACCUUUGCGGUAGCCUCCUUAUCAAUAACCCUGUGCCCAUGGAUGAAACCCGUUUUUCGCAAGCCAAUGUGAUCCACUUGCGUAGCUGAUUAUACUUAACCUUUGCUGCAGCCUCCUCAUCAAUGACCUUGCGACCAUGGACGAAACCCUUUCUUCCAAAGCCAAUAUGAUCAUCUUCUAACCACCCCGGAUAAAGCGGCGCAUACCCUGUCUGAUACAUGUCUAGCUCCAUAGAUUCCAUUUCCAAACUGAUUUUGGAGUGCCACAUAUGCUAAUCCCGACACCUAUGCGGGCUAUCGUCAUCUUGGAAAUCAGCCCUGUAGUGACUCAUAUUUUCCACCCUCGGUAUAAUCUACUUCCUUCUGGCUUACCUCAUGACUCUGAGAGAGACAUAAGGGUAAGUUCCUCUUAAGCCGAUGAGUACAAAGAAUGGUGCAUCCCUAGACCGAAUGAUAAACUCUCCAGUUGGAAACCACUCGUACAUCCAUUGNNNNNNNNNNNNNNNNNNNNNNNNNNNNNNNNNNNNNNNNNNNNNNNNNNNNNNNNNNNNNNNNNNNNNNNNNNNNNNNNNNNNNNNNNNNNNNNNNNNNNNNNNNNNNNNUCAAUUGUUCCACCUAUCCAUUGGCGUCUUCCGGGUGAGCGAACAUAUCCGGCAUGAAGUGCAUCCAUUUUAGAUGAUGGAAGGCAAUAUGGUCAUCCCAAUCUCGUCGUAUGAUCUCUUGUCUAUACUCUCCUUUAUAAAGAUGCUCAAUGAGCCAGAGUUGUUGUAGCAAAUUGCACCCUUCAAAGUGCGGUGCCCCUUUUUGACAUUUUUCUAAGGCUCGGUACAGUUCGGCGAGGAUCAUGGGUGCUAUGCUGAAUUUCUACCCGUCGAUACCCUCCAUUACGGCUUUGGAUACCAUGGCAGUCUUGUAUGGAUUCUAGCCUUCUUCAUUGGAAAAACUAUCAUGCCCAAGAAACAUAACAUGAAUACAAAGGCCCUCCUAUGUAUGUGCCCCAAAGAGGUGAGGGAGAAUUCGUCCAUGUGAUUGCAGUAUAAUUUUCUAUGUCCAAAAAUUUCAUACAUGAAGUCGAAGGAUAUGUAGGAGUCCUUCAAACUGGUCAGAUUAGGAUUCUUCUUGAGCCCCAUCAUUUUCAAGAACCCUCUACCUUUGUGUUUUUCCGGCAUAAGCAAACCUGGGCUAUCCCAAGGAAUUCCGGCUCGACCCCCAAUUUCUUCCAAUAACAGUGUCAUUUCAAUAUCCCCAAAGCGGAAGACGGGCCGUUCACUAUCCCAAAACCUAGUAGCAGCUUCCACAAUCUUGUUAUCAGUCCUAACUUCCAGAAGUGAAGGAAGACUUCCUAAGUGCUUGCAGACAAGAACCCGAUCACUACCAUGCAAAUCAUCCCACCAGCUUAGCAACUUUGAAUGAAUGUUUGAUACCAUACCGAAUCUGGGACCUCGUGCCUCAUUUUCCUGCAAAAUAGAGAGUUAGGCCCUUAGCCCCACCGGACUCGACUAUUACAAUCAAUAAUUAGCAAAAGGUAUUUAAUUCUCCAAAUCAAUGCACAUAACGUGAUUGUCCGUUUGGAUUUCGAGAAAACCCGAUGGACUCUGGUUUAGGCUAUCCUAGUGAGUCAUUAUGUGGACAACAUAACUGACUCGUCUUAGUUCGACCUUGAUGCAUGAACAUUUAAACAGAGUAAGGCUUCUAUUUGAAGUGCUAGACAAGGUACCCUUGANNNNNNNNNNNNNNNNNNNNNNNNNNNNNNNNNNNNNNNNNNNNNNNNNNNNNNNNNNNNNNNNGUGCUAGACAAGGUACCCUUGAGCGGACAACUCAAGAGGGAAAGGCACGGAACCGUCGACUACACCGUUGAUCGACUGGUUUUACUGCAAAUACGCCUUUUCCAAAUUUAGGGGGUUUGUAAUUAUGGAAGAGAGCAACCACUCAGCAUAAGUGUUGCUGUAGCAUUUGUUUGGCACGAGUGGAAAAUGAUGUUGAAGGAUGCAAUUACAACAAUGGAAAAAUGCAUGUAUUUUCACGUUCAUACAAUAAUGAUCACAAUAAAUACUCGAAAUUUAAGACGGAAUUGAAGUAAAAUGAGGUAAUAAAGCAGUAAAACGGUUAAAGAAAAAGAAAGACACGAAGAAACGAGUUAGUAAUUGUGGAGAAAUAAUUAAGGCAAUAAAGGUAAUAAAGAAAGCAAUAAAGCCACAAAACACGUAAUGGUAAAAGCCUAAUAAGAUUUCGCCAGCAGAUUCGCCAUGCUGUCGACGCCCCCUUUUUCCUUAAAAGAAAGUGAAAUCGGGUUAUACGACAUUAUGGGCAAAACAAGUCUAUUUCUUAUUUGGGAAUUUGGUUAUGGAAUGGAAGAGUCGCCACCUGAUGAUUAUAGUGCAUUAGGACACUUAAGAGAGAUUCUCUCGAAAGGAAGGUGUUAGGCACCCCUCAAGAUCCACUAGUGUGGUUCCCGCCCGUGUUAAUCGUGACUUUAUAAAAUAUAAAACAAUUAAAACAAAUAAUUUUCACACAUGUAACAUUCGUACAACGUGAAAAGCUUUAAAGAAGAAAGAAGGACACAAAUUUAAAAUAAAAGAGAAUUGAUUUGAAAAAGCAUUACUAUAUGAAAGCAUUUAAAUAAAGCAAAUAAGAGAAAGGAGGAUCAUAGGUUUGACUACCAUAUAGAUCAUUCGAUGCAAUAUCCCGCAUAUAUUCCCAAAGAGGGGUCGCUUUAUGAUAUUAUCACAUCGUCAUAUACACUAUGGAUCAUUCAAUGCAAUAUCCCGCACAUAUUCCCAAGAGGGGUCGCUUUAUGAUGUUAUCGCAUCGUCAUCAUCUCCAUAUUCUACCCUUCCCACCCCUUAGAGGUCAUUUAAGCGUGUGAAAUUCUUAUUGCGUGCUAUUACCCCUCCAGUCCUAUAUAUCCUAUAGGGCACUUAGGAUCGCUAUUCCUAUGAUGUAGGAACUAGGUAGAACCCUUAAUUUUAAGGUUAAAAUACUAGGAGACAUUCAAAAACAAAUAGGACUUGCAUGUAAGGGAAUCAUAUAGAUCAUAUAAAAGGCUCAAAUAACCCUCUAUAAGAGAACACGUAAGUAGCACGCCUCAAACACAUGUAAGGUCUAAGGAAAAGAGAGUUUUAAAAGCUGGAGUGUUGACAAAUAUAUUUAAGACAUGUAGACGACUCAAACACAUGUAAGGUCAAAGGAAAAGAGAGUUUUAAAAGCUGGAGUGUUGACAAAUAUAUUUAAGACAGCAGCUGAAACAGCUUUUAAAAAACAUAAUUCGCAUAAAAGGUUGGAUGAAAACAUUUGGGACUUGAGAAAGGAAAAUGGGUGUGUGACAAUUUAGAAAUCGGAAGGAAAACCUUUUAAACACAGUUGAAAAUACAUAACACGUAUGAUAAACCAGUUUUCAGAUAGGAGAGGUAAAAACAAAUGUAAUACUAUUCAGAAAUGUUAAAGAACGUGUAAGUAUAUUAAUUUUUAAUACUGCAGAAGGUACAGUAUUCAGACAAGUUGUAAAAAAUAGUAAUCAAUUUCUGGACUAGGAAGAAGAGUAACUUAGUAAAAUAUUUGCACAUAAGGGAUGGACAUAAGGCAGAAGUUUAGUGUAAAAAUCAGCGGACCUUGGAGAGGCAAACAAAAUCAGACGGUUUAAAAGGGGUGAAUAGCCUAAGCUGGAUUUAAGGUGAUUAAUCAAUUUCAUUUAACCAAAGGUUUGCCCAGGCGUUGCUUAACCAUAAGAGAAAGGUGGACAUACACGUCAUUUUUAAAAAAGGAAUGGGUUAACUAGUUUUACGUCUAUUUAACAAAAUUAGUGAGGCGUUCAACAGUGGUAAAAAAAAGAAGACCCUAAGUACAUGAUAUCUAAUGCAUAUAAAGGCCCUAAAACAUGGUAUCUAAAUUCAAGGUAGUAAUUUGAUUAUUAAUUGAUUGUGAUUAUAAAAAUAACAAGCUAAAAGAAAAAGACCUAAGAACAAUAUUUCUAUAUGUGAGAUGCAUGUCCUAUACAUGGUUUCUAUUGCGCAAAUAGAUAAGUAAAGUCCUAUAAACAUGUUCUCUACCCAAUCCCUUAAUAAUCAUGCAUAGCCCUCCCCAAUUUCACUAUUAUCCUCAUUGUUCUUUACAAAUUAUUACAGACCAAGAAAUUUAAAAAAUACAACAGUGAAAGAAUAGAAGAAGCUAUUCUAUUGGGAGCCUACAGUCAGGCCCAAGCAUCUCCAACCUCACUCCUUUCGAGUUUCACAGCCAUUACCAACGCUUGGGUGCGAAAAAGUUCCCUAGUGGUUUGUUUGAACCCCUGGCCAAUACCAAGCACCCAAAAAUGUCCCAAUUAGACAAGUACAAGCAUGGAAGUGCCAGCCUUGUGCAUCAAAGUUCCAAAGGUAAAAAGUUAGUGCGGAUUUUGAGAAAGANNNNNNNNNNNNNNNNNNNNNNNNNNNNNNNNNNNNNNNNNNNNGUCCCAGUUAGACAAAUACAAGCAUUGGAAGUGCCAGCCUUGUGCAUCAGAGUUCCAUGGGUGCUCAAGGCUCCCAUGGCAGUGCUUGCACUAAGGGGGCAGACCCUAAAGCUCUAAGAAUGACAUUGUAAUUGAAAGAAUUGAAAACAGUUGAGAGACAGUUUAAGAAAAUAGUUAAAAGAAUUGAGAGAGUUAAGAAGAGGGUUGGAAAAGUUGAGACAGUUUAAUAAAAUAGUUGAAAGAGUUGAAAAAGUUCUUUUGAAAUUAUUUUAGACUGACCAGUUUUAAAACAGCAGGGCAUCACACAAACAGGGGGCAAAGGGGAAAGGGGGACAAAUAAGUAAAGUGAAUUACAGACAUACAAACAACAUGUUGGAGGAAAAUAAUCAGACAUGAUUCUAAGCCAAGGGUUCAAUUUACUGCACCAAAUUCUGAUACACUUAGCUUCAAACAGAGAUUUUAGGUUAAACAAGUAGCCAAGCAAACAUGGAUGCAUAGUAGUAUCACACAGGGAAGGGUAGACAUUCAUUGAGACAGGGGAGGGGAUAAGGGAGAAAAUAAGUAAAGUGCAUAGUUAACAUAUUUGAGGAAAAUAAUCAAGCAUGGUUGUAAAGCAAGGAUUGAAUUCUUACUGCACCAAAUCCCAAAUAGAAUCAACCUCAGGGAGAUGUUUCAGGGCUGUUAAGUAGCAAGCAGUAGUGGACAUGGAAGAAGAACAUGCAUUGAAACAGGGAAAGGGAAUGGGGAAUGGGGGUAAACAUGCUAAGUUAGACUAGUAGACUGACAACUACAUGCUAGUGGAAAUAAGAGCAACUGAACCAUAGGUAAAAGCACACAAGAAAUAAUAUGAAUUGCAAAACUAAUAGGAGCAUGCUGUUUUGGAGGCUUUAUCUUAAAUAGGUGACAUACCAGUUGUAGGUAAUAGGAUACAAUAGAAAUUCAAUAGUGUACAAAGGGAGAGCAAAGUGUGCAAAGAAUGAGAGCAGCAGUUAAUAGGAUACAAUAACAAUGCAAUAGUGCCUAAAGGGAGAGCAAAGUGUGUAAAGAAUGAGAGCAGUAGUGUGAGUAACCGCAGUAGGAGAAUAACAGCAACAAUAUGAGAAUAGCAGCAGCAACAGACCCAAUGCAACAAAUAGAACCCAAUAGUGUAAAGUAAUCAACCCUAGUUAGUCAAUCUUGGUUGUUAGCCGAUUGAGUGUUCAAAGAAGAGAAUGAGAGAGUGUAGUAAUAGCAGAGAACGAGAGAAUUCUAAGAGUUUUAGAUUGUGAGAGCAGUGUGUGUUCAAUUUUUCAAAGAUAAGGGGGGAGUAUUUAUAGUAUUGAAAAAGAGUAAACGAACAAGGUAUCAAUCCAUAUUUAAGGAACUGAUAUCAAUAAACAUUAAAUAAGUAUAGGGACUCCCCUUUAAUUAAGAAAUCAUAGUCAAACGGUAAUAAGCAGUCAUUUUGAAAAGGAUAGGAAUUACAAGGUAUGGCCUGACCACAUAAGGAAACAAAAAAAGUAUAAGGUAUACAUUGCAGACUAGGUGCAUGAUACUUAACUAUGGAAAUAUGUCAAGCAAGUAAAUCAGCAUAUUUGUGCACACAUAUAAGGAAAAUACCACUUCAUUUCUGAAAAAUAAUUUUCGAAAUUGAAAACUUGGGAGAUCAGUUAUUUAAUUGAGGAAUGUAUCCCACUGAUCGAGGACUGGGAAAUAAUUUUCAAAACUGAAAACAUGGGGGAUCCGUUAUCUGAUUGGGGAAUGUAUCCCACUGAUUGAGGAAGAAAAUUCGAAAUAAAUACCAAAACUUUAAGGAAAAUAAAUAAAUCACUAUUUAAGGUUAGUAAUCACAGUCUUAAAAAGAACUUUUAAGAAUCAGUAUAAAAUCACAAUGUAAAUAACCAGAAAAAACCUUAAGAGAAGAACAACAACAUGGUAUGGGAAUGAAACACUAGCGAUAAAAAAUCAAAGUAAAGAGCACGGAGCUCAUAGAAGAAACUAGAAGAAACAUGCAAAUAGGCAGAUACAGAUACAAACAUGUAGGGUUAGGGUUCUUAUCAGCUUUUAACAAAAGGUUUAGAAGUAGUACUGAAAGUUACGGAUUAGUGUUAAAAAUCAGAAAAGUAAAGUAUUUUCGAAGGGGGUUAGAAACCCUAGCAAUAGAAAUCUCAGUAUGAAGCCCAGGUUAACAAGGAAAACCAACAAACAAGUGAAAUAAAUAAACACAAACGAAUAUAUAGCACUCAGAAGAGUAGAAGAAACGAUUUUGAAGAAAGAGUCAGAAACCCUAAUUUGAAAGAAAAAAUGGUAAUCAUCCGAACAAUUUUGAAAUAACCGGAAAUGCUAAGUAAAAAUCGAGUAGAAAACAAAAAUCAGACUAUGAGUUAUUUUAAAAGAGUAGUGAUUAAAGAGGAAAAUCAGGGUUUUCAAACAAAUUAGGGAAAACGAAGAACCUGACUGUGAAACUCGUAUACAUUUCCAUAGAAGGCAUCAUCGUACAAAGACCAUCGGAGAAAAGCCGGAAAACAGACCCAAGUAGAGCUUCAGUGACCGUCUUUCAUGGAGGAAGCUGCUAGGCUUAAAUCUUGAGAGAGGAAACCAUGACAUAAGGACUCCAUGGCUGCCGGAAGUCGAGAUAAGUGAGGGAGGAGUGAGCCGGAGAGGCGAUGAUCUUCAUCAGAGAUGAAGGAGAGAAUUAGAAGGUUCUAGAGAGACGAAGGGUUAGAGAGCGUUUUGGGAGUGAAAUGGGAUAAAAGGGCGGCGAAUUUAGAAAAUGAAUUAGGGUAAAGGGGGUUAUGGGUUUAAUUAUGGUAAGGUUAAUUGUGGACCGUUGAUCGAAAUGAUCAACGACCACGAUAUAAAACGGGGGUCCGGGUGGGUUGAUCCAAAUAGGUUUGGGUCGGGUGAUUUUAUAACAGGGUCAUGAUUUCGGGGGUGAAUUUGGUUUAAAAUGUGGCCAAAAUUGAAAGAUUAAAGGGCUAUAAAAUAAACGCCCAAUUUUCCCUAAUUAAUUUAUAAAAUUUAGUAAUUUUUUUUUAUUAAAAUCCAAUAAAAAUACUGAGAUAAUAUGAUACGUGUAGGGAUUAAUUAAAAGUAUUAGGAAUGAAUUUUUUACUUGAAUUACUUAUUAAAUUGAGAAAUAAGCUAAAGUUGCAAUUUAUUGCAAUUUUAGUUUAAAAAUAUCUAAUGGUUUUAUAAAAAUUAUGGAAAAAUUACAUAAAUUAUAUUUUUAUGUGGAUGAGAAAGUAAAAUAAAUUAUUUAUUAAAAUUAACAAGAUUUGAUACUAAAGAUUAGAUUUUCUAGUACAAAAUAACUUGUAAAUUGAUUUUAAAAAUACUAGAAAAAUACCAAACCUUUCGUGGAUGCUUAUAUAUGCAUUCAAAAGCUACUUUUAAAAUAUUUUGGGUACAAAAAUACAUUGGAAAAAUUGGGUAUCAACAACAUGCAUGAAGAUUUUAUGAAGAAAUUUCAAAGCAAGUGUAUGGGGUUCCCUUCUCAAGCUAAAUUUUGAAAUUUGGGGGAAAUAGGUUAGGGAUUUUUACCUGCGAAAUCAAUAGUGAAGACAAUGCACCAAGGAUUUUCCAAGCUCCAAUGAUUUUGAAAGACUAGAUGAUGAAGAAUUUACUUUCUCUCUCAAGAACCCUCUCUCACUCUCUCUUAUUUUGAUCAGAAGUGUAUUAAAAUAAGUGAGAAGGUGUUUUAAUAAAAGGUGGGUCGGGUCUAAAAUUUUAGAAAAAUACCAGGCGAGCUCGAUUUGCGACGCAAUCUGCGAUUGCAGAACUGACAUGCGGUCCGCAAAAUAGACCGCAGAAUUGGCUCAAGUUUCAAACAUCUCGGAUUGGGAAUGCAGUGAAUAUGCGGUCCGCAUUCGAGUUAUGCGGUCGCAGAAUGCACCGCAUAACUAUCCUUCGAAUUUUCUCAGGGACAAUAUGCGAUCACUCUGCGGUUUAAUUAUGCAAUUGUAGAUUUGACCGCAUUUUCAACAUAAAAAAUUGGUUGCUCUCUGAUUCACUAUGCGGUGGGAAUGCGGUCCGCAUAGCUGAUCUGCGACCGCAUUCAGGACCGCAUUUUGACCAUUUUCUGAAAAGAUUUUGAUUUCAAAUUUUUAAGUUCAAAACAAUAAAAAGAAUCCGAUCCAUGUAGGUAGUUUCGACUCUAUGAGUUGCUAACAUCUGAGCACUCAUUUCACGGGGCCUUACAUCCUCCCCCGCUUAAGAUCAUUCGUCNNNNNNNNNNNNNNNNNNNNNNNNNNNNNNNNNNNNNNNNNNNNNNNNNNNNNNNNNNNNNNNNNNNNNNNNNNNNNNNNNNNNNNNNNNNNNNNNNNNNNNNNNNNNNNNNNNNNNNNNNNNNNNNNNNNNNNNNNNNNNNNNNNNNNNNNNNNNNNNNNNNNNNNNNNNNNNNNNNNNNNNNNNNNNNNNNNNCUUGAUACACUUUUAACCAUUUGGCACACAACAUAUAAUCAAAUUAAGCAUUAAUCACCUGUACUAUUAAAGCCAUUUACCUAUCACAAGGGUACGAUACUGUUACUCAUUUCAAUACAAUUCCUCCAUGCAAAAACUAAUCAUUACACAAUUAGAAACACUUUGAUACACAGUCUCCAUGCAAAAUUAAUUAUUAUUUCCAUACAUCACCUUACCAUGGGAGCACAAAACUUUCAUUACCAAAAAGGACUGCACAUUGAGCAAAUAGUUACAACACAUAAACUUGGUUGGCACAACUUGGAGAAACUACAACAAUAAAGCACUUGUAAAGAGAAUGAAUGAUUCUUACACCUAAUGGAACAAAUCACUAGCUCUUCUAGGGACAUGAUUCGCACGAUCAUUUAUGAACUUAUUCAAAUAGAUAGGGGUAUUUUAUCUUCAUCUCAUCUUCCGCUUCCUAUGUGGCUUCCUCGACUUGUUGGUUUCUCCACAACACCUUAACUGAAGCAAUCUUCUUGUUCCGCAACUUUCGGACUUGCCUAUCUAGAAUAGCAACUGGAAUCUCUUCAUAUGAUAACUCUUCUGUAACCUUGAUGUCCUCAACUGGCACAAUUUUAGACGGAUCACCCACAACUUUCCUCAACAUGGAUACAUGAAAGACCGGGUGCAGUAAGGACAUUUCAGGGGGCAAUUCCAACCAAUAUGCAACUUGACCGAUCUUUUGAGUGACUUGAUAAGGCCCGAUGUACCAAGGACUUAGUUAUCCCUUCGUCCCAAAGCGCAUGACUCUCGUCAUAGGGGACACCCUCAAGAAUACCCAAUCUCCUUCUUGAAACUUCAAUUCUCUUCGACGCANNNNNNNNNNNNNNNNNNNNNNNUAACAUGGAUUUUCCCAAAGCACAUGACUCCCUUCAUAGGGGACACCCUCAAGAAUACCCAAUCUCCCUCUUGAAACUUCAAUUCUCUUCGACGAACGUCCGCAUAGGAUUUCUGGAGACUUUGAGCAGUCUUCAUCCUCUCCUGAAUGACUCUUACCUUCUCCAUGGCAUGAUGAACGAGAUCUGGCCGUAUUAAUUCUGCUUCACCAACUUUAAACCACCCGAUCGGGGACCUACACCUUCUUCCGUACAAUGCUUCGAAUGGGGCCAUCUGGAUUCUACUUCACCAACCUCGAACCACCCGAUCGAGGACCUACACCUUCCGUACAAUGCUUUCAAUGGGGCCAUCUGGAUGCUAGCAUGGAAGCUGUUGUUAUAAGCAAAUUCUACUAGGCGUACCUUUGAAAUCCAAUAUACAUGCCUGCAACAUAUCCUCGAGCGUCUGAAUAGUUCGCUCUGCUUGGCCAUCGGUCUGCGGAUGAAAAGUUGUGCUAAGAUUCACUUGAGUACCCAAUCCUUGCUGAAAUUUCCUCCAGAAGUUAGCUGUAAACUGAGCUCCUCGAUCCGAAAUGAUAGAAAGUGGCGUACCAUGAAGCCUCAAUAUCACCUUGAUAUACAACCGAGCAUAUUAUUCUGCAGUAUCGGUGGACUUGACCGGCAAAAAGUGAGUUGAUUUGGUGAGCCUAUCCACAAUUACCAAAAUUGAGUCGAACUUGUGCUGAGUACGAGGUAGUCCUAUCACGAAGUCCAUAUUGAUCAUUUCCCACUUCCAUAUCGAUAUUUCUAUAAGCUGAGUUAACCCAACCGGCGGUUGAUGCUCGGCCUUCACUUGCUGGCAAUUUGGACACUUAGAGACGAAGUCCACCACACUCUUCUUCAUACCACUCCACCAAUAGAUAUCCUUGAGAUCGUGAUACAUCUUUGUAGAGCCUGGGUACACUGAAUACCUGGAAUGAUGAGCCUCCGCCAUUACCCUCUCUUGAAGAUUAUCCACAUCCAGGACACAUAACCUGUCAUGGCACCGUAGUACACCAUCAUUGCUGCCGAGUGAAAAUGCUAAAAUUUUGUUACUUAGAGCUGCCUCCUUCAAUUGUGCCAAUGCUGGAUCAACAAACUGCUUUUCUUUAGCCUCUGCCACAAGCGACGAUUCUGCUAUAUUAUGCACCAUAAGUUCCUCCUUAUUCAUGGCUGAGAUACAAACCCCAAGGCUAGCCAACUGAUGCACCUCCCAAGCUAGGAUCCUCUUAUCCGCUCUCAAGUGAGCCAAGCUACCCAUGGAUUUCCGACUGAGGGCUUCGGCCACCACGUUCGCCUUCCCUUGAUGAUACAAGAUGUCCAUAUCAUAAUCCUUAAGAAACUCCAACCAUCGCCGCGGCCUCAAAUUCAACUCUUUGUGCUUGAACAAAUAUUGGAGACUCUUGUGGUGUGAAAACACAUCUACAUGAACCCAAUAAAGAUAGUGUCGCCAUAUUUUCAAGGCGAACAAAACUGCUGCAAGCUCCAAAUCAUGUGUCGGAUAAUUCUUCUCGUGAUUCUUGAGUUGCCUGGAAGUAUAUGCUACGACCUUCCCGUGCUGCAUCAGAACACACCCUAAACCAACCUGGAGGCAUCAUAAUGAACUACAAAACCCUCUGUGCCUUCAGACCACUGGAACUUGGCUGAUUUCUGCGUCAAUUUGGUCAAAGGAGAGGCGAGGGUGGAGAAUCCCUCUACAAACCUCCGAUAAUACCCUGCUAACCCCGAAAAGCUAAAGAUCUCCAUCGGGGUCGUGGGCCUAGGCCAAUCUUUCACCGCUGCAAUCUUUUGGGGAUCCACCCGAAUCCCCUUACUGGAAACAACAUGACCCAGAAAAGCGACGAACUCCAACCUAAAUUCACAUUUGGAAAACUUGGCAUAUAAAUGGUGCUGAUGAAGAGUCUGCAAAACCGCUCUGAGGUGACUGGCAUGAUCCUCCCUGCUCCGCGAAUAUACGAGGGUGUCGUCAAUGAAAACAAUCACAAAUGAGUCUAAAAAUGACUUGAAGACCCGAUUCAUAAGAUCCAUAAAAGCUGUCGAGGCAUUGGUUAGCCCAAAAGACAUGACCAAGAAUUCAAAAUGGCCAUAACGCGUUCUGAAAGCGGUCUUAGGAAUAUCCUGCUCCUUGAUCUUUAAUUGAUGGUACCUGGACCGCAAGUCAUUUUUGGAGAAGAACCUUGCACCUUGCAAUUGAUCAAACAAAUCAUCUAUCCGAGGCAAAGGGUACUUAUUCUUGAUGAUGAAUUUAUUAAGCUGUCGAUAAUCGAUACCAUCCAAAGCGACCCAUCCUUCUUUCUAACAAACAGAACCGGAGCACCCCAUGGCGACACACUUGGCCGAAUAAACCCCUUCUCCAAUAGAUCCUUCNNNNNNNNNNNNNNNNNNNNNNNNNNNNNNNNNNNNNNNNNNNNNNNNNNNNNNNNNNNNNNNNNNNNNNNNNNNNNNNNNNNNNNNNNNNNNNNNNNNNNNNNNNNNNNNNNNNNAUUGCUCUUUUAACUCUCGCAACUCUGCUGGCGCCAUUCUGUACGGUGGAAUAGAUAUUUGCUGGGUAUCUGGCAAUACAUCAAUCCUGAAAUCAAUCUCCUUAUUUGGCGGGAUUCCUGGAAGUCAUCUGGAAAUACCUCAAGAAACUCAUUCGCAACUGGCACGGACUCGGGGGCAGGUACCUUUUGAGUAGUGUCCGCCACCCCGACAAAAUGAUAGAUACACCCCUUCCUGGUCAACUUCGAAGCCUUGAGGUAGGAAAUAAACCUACCCCUAGGCACAACGCCAUUUCCCUUCCAUCCAAUAAUCGGCUCAUUAGGGAACUCAAGUCUCAUGACCCUCGUCCGACAAUCAAGUUUGGCAAAGAACGAAUAGAGCCAAUCCAUCCCCAUGAUUACAUCAAAAUCCACCAUCCCAAGCUCGAUAAGGCCAGCCGUGGCAACAUGACCACCUACCAUAACAACACAAUUCCUAUAGAUCUGCGCGACUGUAAUAGAAUCACCAACUGGAGUCGAUACAGAGAAUGGCUCAAGAAGCUGCUCGGGUUAAAUCCCAAAACUCUAAGCAACAAAUGGAGUGACAUAGGACAAAGAAGACCCCGGAUCAAUAAGAGCAUAGCAAUAAAAGGUCUGAACAGAUAAGAUACCUGUGACAAUAUCUGGUGAAGCCUCAGCACUCUAACGACACUCAAUGCAUAAAACCUGCUGGGUCCGCCACUACCACGAGCUCCACCUAUGGCUGCACCAUUCCCUGCUGGGCUGGAAGGCACACUGAUGACUUAACAAAUAAUGAAAUGGAUGGCUGAGCAAGUCCCAUACCCGUACCCUGUCUGGUCGCACGACAGUCUCGCUUUAUGUGACCUCUCACCUCAUAAUUGUAACACACUGGAGCAUCCAAGUAACAGGCCUUUGCAUGAAAUCUCCCACACUUGGGACAUAUACCUCCCUGCUGCCGAGGUCUCAUCCCCGAAUGACUACCACAAUUGUAACACACUGGAGCAUGUUAGUAACAGGCCUCUAUAUGAAAUCUCCCACACUUGGGACAUAUACCUCCCUGCUGCCGAUGUCUCAUUCCUGAAUGACUAAACUGGUGGGACCUCCUGUUGUCUGAACCUGGCCCCGAAGGGCUACUCUGCUGGUAACAGUGCACGAAUGGCAGUGCACUAGCUGAGGACUUAGCAUAAGACUGAGAUGGUAAUAAUGACCCUCUCCUUGGAGCUAAUCUCCUUAAGUGACCCAUAGACCGGGCCCUGCUGCUACUCUCUCUGUCUGCCCGAAUCUUCAACUUCCUGACCUCUGUGGCCUGAGCAAAACCCAAGAUCUUCCCAUAGUUCAUCUCUGAAUGCAAAGUCGUUGUAGCAGCCUCAUUUACUACCAACGGACUGAGACCCUGAACGAAUCACCGAAUUCUAACCUCCGUAGUCAACACCAACUGAGGAGCAUACUUGGAAAACCUCACGAACUCUAUAUGAUACUCCCAAACACUCAUGCUACCCUACUUAAGAACCUCAAACUCGGUUGCACGGGCUGACAUGGUCUCGGCAGGCAAGAAGUGGUCCAUAAAGGCAUCUACGAAUUCAUCCCAUCUAGCUUGAGGUCUCCCCUCCUCACGAGAAUCCUCCCACAUCUCAAACUACGAACGCGCAGCUCCCUUCACCCUGUAUGAAGCCAAUUCUACCCCUUCUAUCUCUAUAGCCUUCGUAAUUCGAAGGGUCUUGUACAUCUCAUCAAGGAAUUCUUGCGGAUCGGCCUCUAGGUCUGUGCCUGGGAACUCUGGAGGAUUCAAUCGCAAAAACUGAUGAACUCUGGAGCUGGAGGAAUCUCCCUGUCCACUGGAGGACACAGUGGCAUCAUGAGAACUCUGGGCCUGGGCGGCCACUAACUGGGUCAACAUAUGAAUAUCUCCCCUAAGGUCUCCAUUAGAAAUCUCGGGAUCGGAAGCUGGAGCAACAUCAAGAUUAAGAGCAUUAACAGGAGGGAUAGUACCACCCUCGGCCGCUGCUGGAACAUGAUUGCUUGUAUCAGGAACGGAUGGAGCAGGCAAAUUCAGAACUGGGGAAUCACUCUCACCCACGGCAGUCAGCACAUGAUCCACAACUGCACUGGAAGUAGCGUUGGCCCCUGGGCCGAGUCUAGCUUUCUUCUUGGGUGCCAUUACUAAAAAUUUGAAAUAAAGCGCGAAUUAGACACAACAUCACUUCACCGCACGAACUUGGAAUAACAAAGAAGAGGGUAGUUUUUCCUAAUUGCCCGUGUAGCCCCCAAUUUAUAGAUAUGGUCGACAACACACCGAUAAGAAAGGGAUCUACUAGGCAUGGCUCCCAGACAUCCUAGGACUCCUUUAAAACCUUAAGCUCUGAUACCAAGUUUGUCACGCCCCAAAUACGAGGUGCAUGACCGGCACUCAACCGGGUAUCCCCAGUCGAGUGGACCUGGGUGCCUCUCCUAUUUCCCACGCGUUACCCCUCAUUAUUUAAUGAUAAUGAACCAAAAGAUGCCAAAUUUGCAAUUGAAAGAACACAUGAUUUUUCUUAUAUAAACACACAUUAUUAUUAACAGGGAACGUCUUUUACAAAAAAUACAUUAUGAUUAACAGGGAACGUGGUAAACAAGUUUACAGUGCCCAAGCCAUACACCUCUAUACAUAAGUUCUAGCCCAUAUACCACUAUCUACGGAGCCUUUAAGAUAAAGAUAAUACCAAACUUUCCGGCGACAAGGCCCCGACUAUACCUUUACAAAAGGACAAAAGAGUCCAAAAUACAACAACAUAGGUGGCAUGAGCCACACAAGGCCUCAGAAGGAAAGGGGCUCACCAACAAGAAUAUCGCUGAUAGAGAGGAGGAGGAGCUACGAACGAUGGAUUGGAGUGCCUGCCACGGAUCCACCUACAAUCAUAACACGAAUGUAGCGCCCUCGGCAAAAGGGACGUCAGUACAUUUGAAUUGUACUUGCAUGUAUGAACAAACUCUAUCCAGAGUAAAAUCAAACCAAUAAUGCAUAUACAAGUGUAAAGCUGAACAUCAAUAGUACAACCAUGGAACAACAACCAAGCAUUUCACAGCAAAUGAUACUUUUAUCAUAUACAAGUAUAGAAAUGAACAACAAUAGUACAAGUACAACCAUGGAGCAACAACCAAACAUGUAACAACAGAUGAUUCAAGUAGUCAAACAAAGGGGAAAUCAGUGCCCCACAGGUUACAAACUCUCUUAUCCUCUCCUUUUACAAUUCCACAUUUAUCAUUUCAUGAUUAAUAUUCAUAUCAAUAGUGAUAUUGGAUCACAUUUUCCACCCCUAUUGCCUCGUCCACCCUUAUUACCUCGGCCACCAUUAUCACCCAAACCCACACCUUAUCACACCGUGUUGUGUCGCACAACCCGACCUUGCCUGACAGUUUUCAAUUCACAACAAACAGCACAACAACAAUACAAGAAAUCAACUAUGGCACAUUGUUAAAAUAGAUCCACAACAACGAUAAUGAAAUCCCACAACUAGAAACAACAAUUUCCUCAUGUUCAUCAAAUUGGAACACAAUUUGGAUUAUCACAACAGUUGUUCACAACUAAUCACACACGUUGUUCCACAUUAUUUNNNNNNNNNNNNNNNNNNNNNNNNNNNNNNNNNNNNNNNNNNNNNNNNNNNNNNNNNNNNNCGAGUCUAGUGACAAUAUUUCCAUUUCCACUGUUCCACAUUGUUUCCAUUUCCACGGUUCCACAUUAUUUCCAUUUCAAAUUUCUUCCAAACUACAAGUUCCACAACUUUCACCACAAAGUGUUACCACACAAUUAUACAACAUAAAAGCUUCACAAUGAUUCCUACAAGAAUAUCAACUAUCAACAAUUUCACGACUAACACAGGGCGAUUUCACAAGAAUCACAGUUAGCCAUACAUACCUGGAGUUGAUUAUUCCCUAUUAAACCUCUAGUACAAUUCUCCAAGAUAUCAAGAAGUCAAUCUAGUUCAUGAGCAACACUUAGGUUUUUAGAAAUUUAAACUCAUAGUUACUACCAUAUUCCCUUUUUACAAGAUUUUAGAGUUUUGAAUACAUGCAUGAAGAUUUUAUGAAGAAAUUUCAAAGCAAGUGUAUGUGGUUCCCUUCCCAAGCCAAAUUUGGGGGAAAUGGGUUAGGGAUUUUACCUGAGAAAUCAAUAGAGAAGACAAUGCACCAAGGAUUUUCUAUGCUCCAAUUAUUUUGAAAGACUAGAUGAUAAAGAAUUCACUUUCUCUCUCAAGAACCCUCUCUCACUUUCUCUUAGUUUGACCAGAAGUGUGUUAAAAAUGAGGGAGAAGGCGCUUUAAUAAAAGAUGGGUCGGGUCUAAAUUAUAAAAAAAUACCAGGCAAGCUCGAUCUAUGACGCAAUCUGCGGUCGCAGAACAGACAUGCGGUCCGCAGAAUGGACCGUAGAAUUGGCUCAAGUUUCAAACCUCUUGGGUUGGGAAUACGGUGAAUAUGCAGUCCGCAUUCGAGUUCUGCGGUCACAGAAUGCACCGCAGAACUGACCCUCGAAUUUUCUCAGGGACAAUAUGCGAUCACUCUGUCGUCCGCAUAUUGAUUAUGCGAUUGCAGAUUUGACUGCAUUGUCAACAGCAAAAAUUGGUUGCUCUCUGAUUCACUCUACCGUAGGAAUGUGGUCCGCAUAGCUGAUCUACAACCACAUUCUGGACCGUAUUUUGACCAUUUUUUUUAAAAAAAUUUAAUUUCACAUUUUUAAGUUGAAAACAGUAAAAAGGAUCAGAUACAUGUAGGUAGACUCGACUCUAUGAGCUGCUAACAUCUGAGCACUCAUUUCACGGGGCCAGACAGGAGCAGAGCCUAGAAAGCCCUCGCAGACGGUCAUGAUGAUCCGUUCUAUUGAAGCCAAGGAUAAAGCAAAGGCAGUUGAGGUAAGGCUAGCAAUUCAAGCAGAAGAGAUAAAAGACAAGCCGGUGGUGGUAAUGGGGAAAGGACCAUUUCUUGAUGCAAAAGGCCAGAGCCAGCCAAGUUAGUGGUACCAGGGGCAUCAUCUGCGCCCGUGGUAAUUGUGAAAGGGGCAUACGUAGAACCGGUCAUCAUAAAGCUGGUAGUCCAAUUACCCAUGGCUAAUAGCAAAGCUGUGCCGUGGAAAUAUGAGAAGGUAGUAGUGACAUACAAAGGAAAGGAAAUUGAGGAAGAAAGUUGUGAGGCACUAGGAUUAACUCGGGCAGGACACUAUUUUGCUCCCAAAGAGCUAGGGAAAGCCAGGGCCACAAAAGACAAUGCAACACUAGUCUAGAAGGUUGUGACAGAAGAAGAGGCGGAGGAAUUUCUGAAAAAGAUGAAAGCACAGGAUUAUUCCAUUGUGGAACAAUUGAGAAAAACUUUGAUUAAGAUCUUAUUGUUAUCAUUACUGUUCCACUCGGAUGAACAUUGCAGGGCUUUGAUGAAGAUAUUAAAUGAAGCUCAUGUGCCCGACAAAAGUUCAGUCAACCAUCUGGAGACAAUUGCCAACAAGAUCAUUGAGAUGAACAGGAUAACAUUUUUUUAUGAUGAAUUGCCCAUGUAGGGCACAGAACACAACAAAGCUUUCUAUUUGACGGUCAAGUGUGAAGAUUCAAAAGUUACUCGAGUGUUGAUCGAUAACGAGUCUAGUGACAAUAUUUGUCCAUUGCUGACGCUAAACCAGUUGAAGAUUAAUGAUGAUAGGAUCCACAAAAAUAGUGUUUGUGUUCGAGGGUUCGACGGAGGAGGACCAGACACGGUGGGGAUAUUAUCCUUGAGUGACUAUUGGCCUAGUCGAGUUCACUAUGGAGUUUCAGGUGUUGAACGCUGCAGUAUCUUAUAAUCUGUUGUUGGGUAGCCCAUGGAUCCAUGUAUCCAAGGCAGUGCCUUCCACAUUGCACCAAAUGGUCAAGUUCGAGUGGGACAGACAAGAAAUCGUGUUACAUGAGGAAGAUCCCACAUGCGCUAUAAGUGACAACAUUGUGCUCUUUAUAGAAACUGAGGAUGAUAAGGGCCAUGAUUUUAUUAGGUCUUCGACACGAUUCUGGUGAUCCGAGUGCCAGAGGGUAAAAGCAUUCAACGUCCCAACGUAGCAGCUGCGACCGUCAUGGUGGUUUCAGAGAUGUUGGUUAAUAGGUUCGUACCAGGGAAAGGUCUGGAUGCUAAGCUUUAGGGUAUUGUUCAACUUGUUUCCUUGCCCAAGAAUUUGGACACCUUCGGGUUAGGGUUCAAGCCAACAGCAGCAGAUGUCAGAAGGGCUCGUAAGUUGAAAAAGAAGGCUUGGGUUCUUCCCAUACCGAUUCCACGCCUGUCCAGGUCCUUCGUCAGGCCGGGUGUCAAAAAGCAGCUAUUGACAAAGGUGUCAGGUCCACUGAUUGGUGCAGAGGGGAACUUGGAUAAAGUGUUCCAGAAGGUAUUUCCUGAGGUGAACAUGGUUGAGGCAGGGGAAGGGUCAAUCAAAGUAGAUAUCCAAUACAUCGGACCACGUGCUAAUAUUAACAAUUGAGAAGCUAUUCCUCUUCCAGUUUGGAGGGAGUCGUGGUAGUGGGUUUUGUUUUCCUUUUGUUCAACUGGAUUUCCACAGUUUGUAAUUCAGUUACUAUGUUGCGUCCGUUUGGAUGAGUUAAAACCCUAUUACCUUUACAUUUAAUGAAAUGCAAUUUUCUCGUUUCUGUAUUCCUAAUUUUGUUUUCGUUUUUCUUUCUUUCUUUUCUAUUCUGUACAGUUCUUUUUAUGUUGAAAUCAAUGACAUGACAUGUAUGAGGAAUCUUCGGCCCAAUUUUAUAAGCCAAUCUAACUCAGAAAUAAUAAUACAAGAAAUCGAGUGUGAUGACGAAGUGGAAUGUGAUGAUGAUGAGGCCUAUGAGAAAAUUAGUAAGAAAUUAUGUCAUUUUGAAGAAAAGCCCAAACCUAACCUAAAUGACACAAAAGCAGUUAAUCUAGAGGACCAAGAUAAUGGAGAAAAUUAGUAAGGAAUUAUGUCAUUUUGAAGAAAAGCCCAAACCUAACCUAAAUGACACAAAAGCAGUUAAUCUAGAGGACCAAGAUAAUGUGCGGGAAACCAAAGUAAAUGUUCAUCUGGAGCCACAACUCAAGGAGGAGAUAAUUAAAGAAUUGUUUGAAUACAAGGAUGUUUUUGCAUGGUCGUACGAUGAUAUGCCGGGUCUAAGCACCGAUUUAGUGGUUGCCCACUGAUUCGGCACUCCCUCCUGUCAAGCAGAAGUUGAGAAAGAUCAAGAUAGACAUAAGUGUGAAAAUCAAAGAAGAGAUUACCAAGCAGUUCGAUGCAAGGGUCAUUCGGGUUACACGUUAUCCCACUUGGUUAGCUAAUGUUGUGUCGGUGCCUAAGAAAUAUGGAAAGACUAGAGUGUCUGUCAAUUAUCGAGAUCUUAACAAGGCGAGUUCGAAAGACAACUUUCCAUUGCCAAACCUUCACAUACUGAUUGACAAUUGUGCCAAACAUGAUAUUGGUUCUUUUGUGGAUUGUUACGAGGGUUAUCAUCAGAUUCUAAUGGAUGAGGAAGAUGCAUAAAAGACGGCAUUCAUCAUGCCGUGGGGAACGUACUGCUAUCGGGGUCAUGCCAUUCAGUUUGAAAAAUUCUUAGGCAACCUAUAUGAGGGCCAUGACAACAAUAUUCCAUGAUAUAAUACAUAAGGAAAUUGAGGUGUACGUGGAUGAUGUGAUAGUGAAGUAUGGACAACAAUCUGACCAUGUCAGAUAUUUAUGGAUGAUGCGAUCGUGAAGUCUAGACAGCAAUUCGACCAUGCCAGGGAUUUGAGAAAGUUCUUUCAAAGGCUUCGCAGGUACAAUCUUAAGCUCAAUCCUGCAAAAUAUGCUUUCAGGGUGCCGUCUGGGAAGUUUUUGGGGUUCAUAGUCAGUUGUCAGAGUAUUGAGUUAGACCCGUCGAAGAUCAAAUCUAUUCAGGAAUUGCCGCCUCCAAGAAACAAACUGAGAUGAUGAGUUUAUUGGGAAGAUUGAAUUACAUCAGUAGGUUCAUUGCUCAGCUCAUGACAACUUGUGAGUCGAUUUUCAAAUUGUUAAAGAAAGACAAUGCAGUCAAAUGGGCUGAUGAAUGUCAAGAGGCUUUCGAUAAGAUAAAAGGGUAUUUGUCGAACCCACCCGUGUUGGUCCCGCCAGAACCAGGGAGGCCUUUGAUUCUAUAUCUGACGGUUUUGGAUAAUUCAUUCAAAUGUGUCCUGGGGCAACAUGAUGUUACAGGAAGAAAGGAGCAGGCUAUCUAUUAUCUCAGCAAGAAGUUCACAUCUUACGAGAUCAAGUGUACUCAUCUAGAGAGGACGUGUUGCGCCCUAACUUGGGUGGCACAGAAGUUGAAAUAUUAUUUGUCGUCCUACACAACUUACCUCAUAUCUCGCUUGGACCCAUUGAAGUAUGGUUUUCAUAAGGCUAUGCCACUAGGAGGCUUGCAAAGUGGCAGAUCCUGCUUACAGAGUUCGACAUUACCUAUGUGACACGAACUGCAAUGAAAGCACAGGCAUUAGCUGAUCAUUUUGAUGAAAAUUCAGUCAAUGAAGAUGAUGAACCUUUAAAAACUUAUUUCCUUGAUGAAGAGGUGAUGCACAUUGAAGGAUUGGAACAAGUUGAGAAGACAAUAUGGAAGCUCUUCUUUGAUGCGGCUGAAAAUAUGAAAGGCGUGGGAAUCGGAGUGGUACUCAUUUCUGAAACAGGUCAGCACUACCCUGUUACAGCCCAGCUUCAUUUCUAUUGCACGAACAACAUGGCAGAAUAUGAGGCGUGCAUCUUGGGACUAAUAUUAGUUGUAGAUAUGGGUGUCCGGGAAGUCUUGGUCAUGGGUGACUCGGACCUACUGGUACAUCAAAUUCAAGAAGAAUGGGAAAUGCGGGAUCUAAAGCGUAUACCAUACCGACAAUGUUUGCAUGAACUUUGUCAACGGUUCCAUUCUGUAGAGUUCAGGCACAUUCCAAGGAUUCAUAAUGAGAUUGCCGAUGCUUUGGCCACUCUGGCGUCAAUGUUACAUCAUCCGGACAAGGCUUAUGUGGACCCAUUACAGAUUCAGGUCCGUGAUCAGCAUGCCUAUUAUAAUAUGGUAGAAGAGGAACUCGACGACGAGCCAUGGUUUCAUGACAUCAUGGAAUAUAUCAGAAUGGGGUCAUACCUGGUACAGGCCACUGGUGAUCAGAAAAGAGCGAUUCUGCAAUUGGCAAGCGGGUUUUUCCUUAGUGGAGGAGUACUAUAUAAAAGAACCCCAGAUCUUGGGCUUUUGAGGUGCAUGGAUGCAAGGCAAGACACAUCUAUCAUGACUGAGGUACAUUCGGGAGUCUGUGGACCGCAUAUGAGCGGAUAUGUUUUGGCAAAGAAGAUCCUACAGGCAGGUUAUUAUUGGCUUACUAUGGAGUGGGAUUCUAUCGGUUUUGUGCGUAAAUGCCGUCAGUGCCAAGUGCAUGGAGAUUUGAUUCAUUCUCCCCCAUCAGAGCUACAUACGAUUCUGCUCCAUGGCCUUACGUCGCAUGGGGCAUGGAUGUUAUCGGGCCAAUCGAACCGGCAGUGAAAAAAGAUCCUACGGGCAGGUUACUAUUGGCUUACUAUGCAGCGGGAUUGUAUCAGUUUUGUGCGUAAAUGCCAUCAGUGCCAAGUGCAUGGGGAUUUGAUUCAUUUCCCACCAUCAAAGCUACAUACGAUGUCCGCACCAUGGCCUUUUGUCGCAUGGGACAUGGAUGUUAUUGGGCCAAUCGAACCGAUAGGGGCAAACGGGCACAUGUUCAUUUUGGUAGCUAUAGACUAUUUUACCAAGUGGAUACAGGCUAAGACUUUCAAGUCUAUAACCAAGAAAGCUGUGGUGGAUUUUGUGCAUGCGAAUAUUAUCUGUCGAUUUGGGAUACCGAAAGUGAUCAUUAUAGACAAUGGGGCAAACCUCAAUAGUCAUUUGCUGAAGGAAACAUGUGAGUAGUUCAAUAUUAUCUAUAGACAUUCUACUCCAUAUCGCCCUAAAGCAAAUGAUGUGGUUGAGGCAGCAGAUAAGAAUAUAAAGAAAAUAUUGCGGAAGAUGGUAAAAGGUUCGAUACAGUGGCAUGAAACGUUGCCUUUUGCUUUGUUGGGGUACCGCACCACCGUUUGUACUUCCGUGGGGGUGACUCCUUAUUCAUUGGUGUACGGCACCGAGGCAGUAAUACCUGAAAAGGUGGAAAUCCCGUCGUUGUGAAUCAUUGCGGAGGCUGAGAUUGAUGACGAUGGAUGGGUAAAAAGUCGCCUUGAGCAGUUAAGUUUGAUUGACGAAAAGAGAUUGGCAUCAGUGUGUGUACCAACGAAGAAUGGCAAGAACAUACAACAAGAAAGUGCGCUCGAGGAAAUUCGAAGUCAGACAGUUAGUACUGAGGCAAAUUUUGCCUCAUUGGGCCGAAGAAAAAGGAAAAUUUGCCCCAAAUUGGCAGGGGCCAUUUGUAGUAACCAGAGUCUUGUAUAGUGGUGCACUGUAUUUGACAGACGUAGAAGGAAAAUGUGUAGAAAUGGCCAUCAAUGUCAAUGCGAUCAAGAGAUAUUAUGUGUGAUUUCUUUACUUCUGAAUGUAUCUGUUUGUAUUUGGCAUAUUUUAAAGAUUGAAAUGACGAAGGAGUUUUGUUCUGCUAUCCAAACACUUUUAUCCCUUGUCUCCUUUGAGCCUUACUUAUUUUUCAUACCCCUCUUUCGGAAUCAACGGCACUAUCAAGAAACACAGGUGCCGAACAUAAAAGAAAGAAAAGAAGAGUAAAGAAGAAAGAAAAAAGAAAAUGAAAAGUAAAAGGAAAAAAAGAAGAGGAAGAAAAUUAAUGAAAAAGAGAAAGAAAAGAAAAGAAAAAGGGAAAGAAAAGAAAAAAAACGAAAAAAAAAGUGAAAGAAAAGAAGAGAAAAAGAAGAUGAAAAGAAAGAAAAAAAACACAACAAGAAAGGUAAUUAUGAUAGAAUGAACUACGUUUGACUUGAUCCCGAAAGGGUACGUAGGCAGCCUCUCCGAGGUCAGUCACACCAAAAUAAAAAUCCAAAGGUCCCCAAGCGAGAAACUGGGGCAGAAGUUUGUAGUUUGUUGUGAGAAAUUGCAUUCCGAACUUUGUAGUUUUAACCCAUUUUGAAAUUUUUUUGAGCCUUUUAUAUCUUUCUUUCUAACACAUCCAAAAGCCUACACUACAGUCCAAAGAAAGACCUUUUGGUCAGUUUUGAGAUAUGCCAAGUCGAGCAGGUAGCGGUAAUUCGUGGCAGUGGCAACACUCCGGUUCAAAAGAACAAAAGAUAAAAAUGAGAGAGUCUUAUUGGUGAAAUGCCUCAGGGGCACCGUAAGGCGACGGGAGCUGAGAGAAAAUAAAAUGAGAGAGUCUUAGUGGUGAAAACCUUCACGGGCACCUUAAGGCGAAAAUGAGAUUAGAAAUGGUAAACUAAGAAAGGUCUGUUGGUGAAACUGUUUUGAGGCAGUGUAGGAUAGAAAGGGGUAAGGUUUGGUUGAAGUAAUGAAGUGAUGGAAAUUCUAGGCAAUGAGGUAUGGUAACUGAAGGCUGUUUAGUUGGAUCGGUUGGGCCGAUUAGUCUGAAAUGCAUGUCAUGAUCAUUGGUGCCAGCUGUUCCGGUUAGAUAAGUUUGUUUUCUUUUUCCCUUUAACAGUUAUCUGGUUUUGGAUUCUUGUUAUCCUUAACUCAUAAAAUCUUUGUAUUUCAUUCUCUUUUGGGGGCUUAUUUGUAUACAAUGUUCUGAUGUCAGUUUUGUUUAAUUCAAAGGGGAAAGGAUUUCAAAGCCCAUUAUCAGUUUCCAAAAAUGGUAACGCAUAAUAUGGUCAGAGCAUGUCAACAACAAUGUGAUGUAAAGUGGAAUAGGGAAGUCACCGGAAGUUUCAUCGGCAAAAUAUUUGGGAAAUGUUGUAGGAAAUGUGAAGGUUUAGGCAAAAGGGCCGGAAAGUUGAAACAAAAGUAUGGGUACAAAAGCACUAAGGUUGCCAUAAAUUAGGGAACGCGAAAGUCGGUCGGAAAGUCAGGCAAUUUAGAGGAAGUCGGGCAAUACAAAGCAAAGCAAUGGAAGGACGGUGCAACAAGAAUGCGAUCAACUAAUCACCAUUUUUAAACUAACAAAAUUUUCAUUGAUUGAGACAGGGGCAGAAAAAUUGUUUGUCAAGAGGAAUUCUCAGUGAGGGAAAAGCCGUCAGGCUCCCGCCUGGAGAACAGAGGCGUACAGUUCAAGUUUCAGAAGUCAGGAGCCCGCCUGGAGAAUAGAGGUGUUAAAUUUUUAAGUAGUUGAAGUCAAGAGCCCGCCUAAAGAAUAGAGGUGUUAAAUUUUUAAGUAGUUGAAGUCAGAAGCCCGCAUGAGAAUAGAGGUGUUAAAUUUUUAAGUAGUUGAAGUCAGGAGCCCGCAUGGAGAAUUGAGGUGUUAAAGUUUUAAGUAGUUGAAGUCAGGAGCCCACCUGGAGAAUAGAGGUGUUAAGUUUUUAAGUAGUUGAAGUCAGGAGCCCGCCUAGAGAAUAGAGGUAUUACAGUCAACUUUCGAAGUCAAGAGCCCGCCUGGAGAACAGAGGUAUUACAGUCAAGUUUUGAAGUCAGGAGUCUACCUGGAGAACAGAGGUAUUACAGUCAAGUUUUGAAGUCAGGAGCCCGCCUGGAAAACAGAGGAGCCCACCUGAAGAACAGAGGAAUACAUUCAAGUUCAAGUUUAUUCAAGUUCAGCAAUUUGGAGGGAAGGAACAACAUCUCAGUGCACGAUUUGAAGUAACAACAUUGAGUUUCACCAAAGAAAACACAAGACAACAAGAGAGAAUACAAGACAAUAAGGAAGUACAAGAUGCAAGUUUGAAGAUUUUAGAUAGGACCUUUCUAAUUUAUAGUUCAUAGCUUAGGCUAGUUUCUUUUCAUCUUUGACGUGGUGUAAUAAGGAAGGUCAUCAAGCAGUAGCAGCACCAAGCAUAGUGAAAUCACAGCUCUUGAUAGUCCCAGCUACCAGACACUCUCGAACUACACCGACCUGAUUCCUGUUUAUCCCAGGAUAUGUAGGCAAGCUCUGUAGCAGGGUGCGGUCAAGUUUUUCGAAGAUGCUUCAUACGGAAUAUGUGAAUGGGCAAAAAUCCCCCAUUUUCGCUCACUUGUCUUUGCGCAAAAAUUCUUUGUGUUUUCAAGCAAAAAGGGACAGCUGUGAGCACGUGAUUUUUGCCCUAAGCAAAUUAUUCUCAAAGAUUCAUACAAAAUGAUUUUUCUUUAUUUUUACAAUUUUUGUGCAUUUUGGUAUCAUUUUCUGAUAAUUGUUGCAUUUUAUUUGUGCAUUUAAUUCAUAAAAUACGAAAAUGUGCAAUUUGCAUUUAGGAUUUAAUUUUAUUUCUUAUUAUUAAUUAGGGGUCAAUUUGUCAUAGAACAAGGCAUGAAAAAUCACAAAACAAUAGUUCAAUUUAGCAUUUAUAUCGUAUUAAUUGGAAAUUGCCACAAAAUAGUUUUAAAAGUAAUUUUAGGACAUUAAUUAGCUUGGUUUAAAGUUUUAUUUUUAUUUUUACAUCUUUAUAAACUUCAGAAAAUACAAUAUAAAUUAUAAAAUUAAAAAAGGGGUUUAACUGAAAAGUAAUUGAAAAUUUAAAAAAAAUAAGAAAUAAACAAUGAAAGAAGUUGCCCAAAAUUGGACUUUUGGCCCAAUUUAUCGACCCAACCCGGCUCAGAUGCCAGUCCGAAAUGAUGGUGUUUGGUGUCUUUUAAUCAUAGCCAUCAGAUCCUUCCAUCCAAUGACCCUGGUUCAAUCCGGCCUUUUACAUAAAACUGUCCAAAUCCCUUCAGAAAGUCAGCGACCAUAUCUCUCUUCCUCGUACUCCCUGUAUCUCCACCGGCGGAGCCGCCGCCAGUGAACAUCACCUUUUCCGUUCAGCCCCAAAUUAACGCCACCAACCCUCCUUGCUCUCCUCUCUCGUUCCCACCAUUGUCGUCCCUCGAAACUCACCGGAGCUCCUCGAAUCUUCGUCGGAAGAUUUUCCAACCACGACACCACCUGUCCAAAAUCCCACCAAAAUCACACCAUAGGACCACCUUGGCCUCUUCUACACAACGCCUAUAGCCUCUUGCCUCGAAUCUGGCCAGAAGUGCUUGAAUAUCCAAUUCAAUUUUUUCGGCCACAACCCUAAAGUGACCAAAGGACAUGCAAUUGAUACCAUAGGGUUCACGGGCUUCCCUCGUGAGUACUUGGUCAUCAAUAAAGCUCGAAUAUCACCGGAGAUGGCCGGAAGUGAAUUUUCGGUUAGCCAGAUUUUUGUAAAAGUUGUUUCAGUAUUAGUGAAUUACUUUUCUUUGUGUAGUUCUCUUAUUUUGUUGUUAUUAAUUUCCAGUUUAAUGUGUGUUUAUUUGUUGUCAAUUCUCUUCUAAAUUUUGUGUUUAACUGUUUUUUUGUUCAUAUAUUAGUUAGUCUGCCUUAAUUAGGAUAUUAACCGUCUUUCUAUCUAACUUUCAAUUUUAGUUUUUCUUUGAUUAGUUCGUUGGCAAUAACUCUUUGAUCCAUUAUGUGGUUUUAAUUCAUUAUAAGGCUUAAUCCUGAUUAAUUAGUAUUCGAUGGUAGUUAGUUUAUAUUGGUUAAUACUUUCGUGGGGAUAAUUAACAGACUUUGUUAAUCUAGGUUGGUAAUUUCUUCAGAAAUAAAAGGGUAAUUCCAGGGUAGUUUAGAAAAUGGUAGAGGAAACUAGGACAUUCUAGAAGGGGUUUAAUUGGGAAAUAAGAAAUAGAUAGUAUAACUUAGGUGGCAAGUUAAAAGUUGUAGGACCGAAUUGAAAAUAACAUAAGGACUAGGUUGCAAAGCCAAAAAUCUGAAAUGCCCUCCUCUAGGCCUAUAUAAAGGGCAUUCUCAUGCCUUGUAAAAGAAGUUUUGGAGCCUCAAAAAAUCCCCAAAUAGCAUUCUCUAGUUCUAGAUCUAGAUUAUAAUUUCAGCAUUCAAAAUUCAACAAAAAAAGAGGAAAAAAAACCAAAAUUUUUUUUUCACUGUUUCAUUGCUAUAUUGUCCAGUAGUGUAGUUUUAGUUCCUAUAAAAUCAAAAACAUAUGUAUUUCUUUAUUCAAGGUUCAGCAAGUUUAUUUGAAGGGUGUGUUUGAAGUUUGGGUUUGAUUUGAAAUCCAUUUAUUUGGUCAAGCUGUGUGUGGAUGAUUGUUGUUUUCUUCUGGGUUUUCAAACGAUUUCUGGGCUGAUUAAGCUGAAGCUAGUUGUGGUUGAUUGCUGCUUAUUGUUGUUUGUGCACUGCUGAGUAUUCUCCUUCUUUGUUCUUCAAUUUCCAGCUACAUAUCUAUACAUUUUCGGCUAUUUGAAAUGAAAUGAAGGGAAAAUAGAGGCUUCUAUGUCAUUUUGUGUUUAAUAGCUAACUGAAACCACGAUGGCUCAGUUAUUCGAUGACUUUGCUUGUGAUGAAUUUGAUCUGUCUCCCUGAUAUGAAAUGUUCGAAGAAAAAUGAGCUAUGUUGAUAUGAAAUGAGAAUUAGACAGGAGUAAACUUAGGCUGUGAGUUUGUACUUAUUUGAAUCUUAUUGAAUUGUGAAACUAUAGGUCUAUUUGGUACGUGCGGAAAAAAGCCAAAUAAGAUUGUUUCAGAAGUAGGUGGAUUAUUGUAACUAGAAAAAGGUUACUAAAUUGUUUUAAGUCCAUUUGAAUGGCAUGCUGUGCAUUUGUGCUUUGAGAUGCUUAUGAACUAGUUCUAACAUGCUAUUGGUAAUCACCCGUUCUUUGAAUGAAUUAACUCUAUUAAACUUAACAGUUUUGGUGGAUUGCUGCAUUUGCCAUUUGAAAAUCCAUGCUAGUUGAGGCAAAAGUAAUUUCGGAUUAGUAGAGUUUAGAUCAUUUGAAUGAAUUGAUAGCCAUUUCCUAGUUAGUUUAAUAUGUUUGUUCUUAAUAUGUCACCCCAAAAUA